Molecule: long non-coding RNA, 54105 nt
Filed under: Triticum aestivum (bread wheat)
Lineage: Eukaryota; Viridiplantae; Streptophyta; Magnoliopsida; Poales; Poaceae
Description: long non-coding RNA (TAES_LNC011963)
Source: RNAcentral
UUUUUUUUUGUUCUAUCCAAGUUGAUACUAAUUUUUUGUAUGUCCAACUGCUAGAAAAGAAACAAUUUUAUCCAAAAUUCAGUACGUGGCCGCACACAGCGAAACCAGCCCAUUUAUUUCCUGCCCAUGCAGCUGAGAACCCUUAUUUAUCACAAAGGGCGGCAAAUAGACGAAGUUUCACAUAUGGCGCCCAGUAUUGGGACGGCCCUUUUUUAUUUUCGUUCUCUGUUAUGCUUCUUUUCCCUUUUUCUUUUCUCUUUCCUUUUCCCUUUUUCUCCUCCAAGUUUAUUUCUAUAUUUUUUCCUUUUUUCGUUACUUCAAAUUUUCAAUUUUUCAGAAUUUUAGUUUUUGAUUAAAUUUCCGUAAAAUCUCUAGAAUUAAUUUUUUUGUUCCCAUUUUGAAUUUUUAUCCAAACUUUAAUUUUUUCUUCCCAUUACAAAAUUUAUUCAAAACUACAGAAAAUGUACGCAUUUUAGUUUUUUUUAUGUUUUCCAAAAUUGUUUGAUAUUUUAAAAAUAAAUUGCAUUUUAAAAAUGAUACAAAUUCGAAAAAUAUUCAUUUUUAUUGAGGUGUUCACAAAUUCAAAGUAAUGCUUGUGUUAGAAAAUGUUUUUGAAAAUUGUUUCAAUGUUCAAAACAUGUUUUCAUUUUCAAAAAUUGUUCACAUAUUCAAAAAAUGUUCGGUUUCUUAUAAAAGGUUAAUGUUUUCUUUUUUUUGUUAAUUUCAAGAAAUUGUUCACGUAUUGAAGAAUAUUCAAAAUAUCAUAAUUAUUAAUUUAUUUUUUGAUAAGUUCAAAAAAGAUGAGAGAAAUAAAAAAUGUUUUGACUGGUACGCUACAGUAUAUUCUUAAACAUUCGCGCUGGCCAUUUGUUAACAAGAGCUAUUUGUUCAAGUGGCUAGCAACACGUGGUCGAGUUUUUUAGGUUGUGAGUUUGAUCCUUCAACUCAGUGGUUGUUUUCAAAAAAAAUUCGCGCCUUACAAACACAUGCCGUUUUGGUGCCUGCCACUGGCCUGGGCAGACUCGAACUGUUGUGCAUCUCACGUGCUAUUUGACAAUAAAAGAGAAUAUGUUGGUUGACUAUAAGUAAAAGAAAUUGUGGGCAUAUGUCAAUAAAAGAGGAUAUGUUGGUUUGGCUGACUAAAAAUAUGUGGACAAGUGAGCGCUGAAAUAAUUACAGAGAAUAAACUCUAGUAAAGUUGGGACUACCUGGUUAUGUGUUGAUUAUACCAAUGAAACGGGAUUCGCUGCAAUUCAUACUAUAUCCGUUAUGCCAUCAUAGGAGAGAGUGGUUGAAGCAACUAUGCCUUGAAGGUUGUCGUGCUACCACAAAAUGAGGAGGCGACCACAACCUAGACACGGUGGCGGACCCGAACAAAAAAAAGGCACAAGUUCGGUGGUGGCCACCACUCCGACCAACCCCAUCACUAUUAAGAUCUCGUGGGCCAAACAUGACCCGUGAGAACAUCGCAGCUCCUCGCUCUGUAGCCCCACCACUGCGGAGACCGUUUUGAUGGACACAUGAAUUAUCUCUCCGAUGCUUCUUGUAAAAAAAUCUCUCUCGUUGCAAUGCACGGGCACAUGUGCUAGUAGAAAAAAAAGUCAAUUGUGCAUGCGACUUGGGGAGCAAAAUCCCAAUGGGGACCCACAAACCUUAAGAGCAUCUUUAAUUGAUGAUGCAGACACAAAAAUAAUUAACUUAUACAUCUUCAAGGUGUUGGGGAACGUUGCAGAAAUUUAAAAAUUUUCCUACGGUUUCACCAAGAUCCAUCUAUGAGUUCAUCUAAGCAACGAGUCAAGGGAGUGAGUUUGCAUCUACAUACCACUUGUAGAUCGAGUGCGGAAGCGUUCAAGGGGAUGGUGAUGAGGGAGUCGUACUCGCCGUGAAUCGGAUCACCGAUGACCAAGUGCUGAACGGACAGCACCUCCGCGUUCAACACACGUACGGUACGGACGACGUCUCCUCCGUCUUGAUCCAGCAAGGAGGAAGGAGAGGUUGAGGAAGACAGCUCCAACGGUAGCACGACGGCGUGGUGUUGUUGGUGCAGCAGUUCUCCGACAGGGCUUCGCCAAGCACGUACGGAGGAGGAGAGGUGUUGGGGAGGGGAGGGGCUGCGCCUUGGCUUGGGGUGUUCAGCCCUCCCCUCACCCCUCUAUUUAUAGGGGGAAGGGGCAAGGGGGCCGGCCCCUCUAGAUGGGGGCGGCCAGGGAGGGGUGGCUUGCCCCCCAAGCAAGGGGGGCGCCCCCUUCUAGGGUUCCCCCCCAACCCUAGGCGCAAGGGCCCAAGGGAGGGGGGGUGCGCCCAGCCCACCAGGGGCUGGCUCCUUCCCACGCAGCCCAUGUGGCCCCCCAGGAGGGGUGGCCCCUCCCGGUGGACCUCCGGAACCCUUCCGGUGGCCCCGGUACAAUACCGGUAUGCCCCCGAAACUUUCCGGUGUCCGUUUGACAACUUCUCAUAUAUAAAUCUUUACCUCCGGACUAUUCCGGAACUCCUCGUGACGCCCGGAUCUCAUUCGGGACUCCGAACAACAUUCGGUAAUCACAUACAAAUCUUCCUAAUAACCCUAGCGUCACCGAACCUUAAGUGUGUAGACCCUACGGGUUCGGGAGACAUGCAGACAUGACCGAGAUGCUCUCAGGUCAAUAACCAACAGCGGGAUCUGGAUACCCAUGUUGGCUCCCACAUGCUCCUCGAUGAUGUCAUCGGAUGAACCACGAUGUCAAGAAUUCAAGCAACCCCGUAUACUAUUCCCUUUGUCAGACGGUAUGUUACUCGCCCGAGACUCGAUCGUCGGUAUCUCAAUACCUCGUUCAGUCUCGUUACCGGCAAGUCACUUUACUCGUACCGUAAUGCAUGAUCCCGUGACCAGACACUUGGUCACUUUGAGCUCAUUAUGAUGAUGCACUACCGAGUGGGCCCAGUGAUACCUCUCCGUCAUACGGAGUGACAAAUCCCUGUCUCGAUCCGUGUCAACCCAACAGACACUUUCGAAGAUACCUGUAGUGCACCUUUAUAGUCACCCAGUUACGUUGUGACGUUUGGUACACCCAAAGCAUUCCUACGGUAUCCGAGAGUUACACGAUCUCAAGGUCUAAGGAAGAGAUACUUGACAUUGGAAAAGCUCUAGCAAAACGAACUACACGAUCUUGUGCUAUGCUUAGGAUUGGGUCUUGUCCAUCACGUCAUUCUCCUAAUGACGUGAUCCCGUUGUCAAUGACAUCUGAUGUCCAUAGUCAGAAAACCAUGACUAUCUAUUGACCAACGAGCUAGUCAACUAGAGGCUUACUAGGGACGUAUUGUAGUCUAUGUAUUCACACAUGUAUUACGAUUUCCGGAUAACACAAUUAUAGCAUGAACAACAGACGAUUAUCAUGAACAAGGAAAUAUAAUAAUAAUCUUUUAUUAUUGCCUCUAGGGCAUAUUUCCAACAGUGACCACCACAACCCGCCGAGCCAGGGGUCUCUCAGUCUUGCCGCCACCACUAUGUCGCCACAAGCGGAGUCCUCCGGUAGUCGCACGGUCGUCCAGAGGCUGUUGAAGCAGCCGCCACCCACCCCAAACGGGCUUUGUGCUGCCCUGCAAUGCUCCGACCGGCCAUCGGCCGGUUUCUUCCACCUCGCACGCAAUGUGUUCGACCAAAUUAUUUGUUGGACUAGGAGGUUUACAUCACCAAACAUACAUCAUCUGUUGGAGUAGGAGGUUUACAUCACAAAAAUAUACAUUAUUUGUUGGGGUUGGUUCUUUUUUGGUGAUGUAAAAAUCACUUUUUGGUGAAGUCUAUUAUACAACAUCCAUUUUUACAUCUCCAAAUUUACACAUCUAUUGGAGAUGCUCUAAAAUGAAAGAAAAACCCGACUCACACGGGAUAAAUGAAAAACAGAUGGCCAAAAAUUAGGAGAAGUGUUACUUAAAUCUCUCCUUCCAACUAUAGAACUAAUUAAUGCUAUUGCCAAACAAUAACUUCAAACGAGGCAAUCAAUAUUGGAGAAGUACAGUUCAGAAAUGUGUUGUCUAAAAGAGGCAAUCAAUAAUGAUAUUACUUAAGUCAACAUUGUACGAGAUAACUUUGACAAAUAAUAACUUCCUAAUUUUGGGAACGUGUCUAAAAGAGGAGAAACUUUAAUUUUACUUCAUUUAUGUCUAUAUAAUGAGGUUCAUACUACGAAAAAGACAAUAAAUAAUUUCAAUUUUAUCGCUCGAUGUCUACUGCAUGGGAUUGGGAUGAGCUAUAGCAUCGGAUCUCUCUUCUCUUAACCUCUCUCUCUAUAUAUACGGGUCAUGUCAUGUGUUGCUAGCAAAUAUUUCACAUCAACAACCAAAGUGAUUUUUUUUCGCAGGUAUUUUUUUAACAACCUAAGUGAUUGACAACCUAGUGUUUUAUCAGGUGGGGUAUGGACAAGUACACAAUUCGCAUCCUUGCACUAUCCCUCGUGUCUCUACAGCUCGUAUGCUCUCCUACUGUUGUACAAUGUAAGCAUACCAAUCAAUUUUUAUUUCUUCACUUCUCUUGGAAGUCUAUAUGUAGUACAGCUAGUAAGGAGGGUUUUUUUGUUUAAUCUCUUGUGUGUUUAUUUAUUCUACUCUAAAGUAUACAAUUGGAUAACAAUUGAAUAUUUGUUUGUUAUUCCAUAGGCCGAAUCAUGGUUGACAUGGAUAUCGAGAAGAUCAAUUUACCAAACGGACUAUGCGCUCACGAGAGUUGGAUUCAUUGCGGCGCUCAUGGACUAUGCGACUGUUGUUUGGUAGAUUCGAUCUGCUAGUCGACCAUGGAUGAGUGCACGAGGGAGUGUAAAAAAUCCUCGUCUUCAAAAGACAUACUACGGGCCAGGACAUCCCCUCCUCCUUUACCCGCUCCUUAAUUUUCCAGCCUAGUCAAAUUGCUUACAUGCAUAUUUACUGUCCUGGGAAAUGAAAAUAAUGCCUAGUAUAUGUGAGGAAAUACAGUUGUGCAAUAAGAUCGAGUAAUACUCUAGCAAUUGUUGUUGAGUAUUUGGUUUGGCAAAUUGCAUCUAACCUUUUGCCAAUUAUUGCGGGCUAAGUUCUAGUAAUAAUGCAACCUAGGUACAAUGUGAGGCCUAAACCGGAAGUGCUUUUCCUCGAUACACAUGCACCGAGCUAUUGCUGAGCGGCCAUGAGUCUCAUGGAAACAAGAUCUUAAUUGGUUCUGAUCAGCACUAAAACACAUCUCAUGUUUUACGAAGAUACCCAAGCAAAAUUUACACAUUGAUUUAAGAAAGUUGAUUAAUAUAUGCAUAAUUUGUUAAUACACUCCGGUAAUUAUAAUAAAAUGGCUGCAUCGCCCGGAUGGAGAGGCCGGGGGUACAUCCUUCUUUUCAAAAAAAAAUUAUAAUCGAAACUGGUGGUUUGUAAAAGAUAAAGCAGUAAUACGUAAGGACAUCUUCAAUGCUGGCCCGCAAAUUAUCUCCUGAAUUUGUCCGCGCACUGCGGGGNNNNNNNNNNNNNNNNNNNNNNNNNNNNNNNNNNNNNNNNNNNNNNNNNNNNNNNNNNNNNNNNNNNNNNNNNNNNNNNNNNNNNNNNNNNNNNNNNNNNNNNNNNNNNNNNNNNNNNNNNNNNNNNNNNNNNNNNNNNNNNNNNNNNNNNNNNNNNNNNNNNNNNNNNNNNNNNNNNNNNNNNNNNNNNNNNNNNNNNNNNNNNNNNNNNNNNNNNNNNNNNNNNNNNNNNNNNNNNNNNNNNNNNNNNNNNNNNNNNNNNNNNNNNNNNNNNNNNNNNNNNNNNNNNNNNNCAUGCAAACCUGGCAAAUUUUCAUAUAAACCGGAGCACACUCAUUUUAAUUCAGACAUUUUUUAAUAUAAACCGGAGAAAAUUCAUUAUAUUUUGGAUAAAUUUUAACUAAACUCCACUCUCAACAUAAUCUAAAUGAUUGCCGGCGCCCGUUCCUCAUGUCCGACCGUAAACCCUGAGAACUGAAGCUCUGGCUCCUGCUUUCAUCUUUUCUAGUUCCGCAUCAACGCUCUCCAGCUCUGCCUCCGCCACGGCAACAUGAGCGGCCAAUAGACCGGCGAUGAUUAAUCCGCCAAGCUUAGCAUCAGCAGGAGGGAAGGAGGGGUGGCCUUCUUCGGCCCCGAGCUGCGGAGACCUACCAUGCACUACUCUUCCUAGCUGUCGGCGGCGCCCGCGGACGUGCCAACUUUGUGGUCGUGGCGACGGGGCACGGCCGUGGCGGAGAUGGCGGUGUGCUCCUCGUCGUCGCUCUUGCCGAACACCUCGUCCUCCGCCUCAUCAGUCUCCUUAAAGGCGACCUGUAAUUCUGCCUGAUGGUGGCGGUACAGCUAGCGGUCACUGUGGAUGUCACGGGUGGAGCAGUAGGAGUAGAGCAGUGCCUCCUGCUCCACCACGUCCACGUCUGGUACGAUGUCCAUGCAUGCGGCGAGUUGCUCCCUUCGCAGGCCAGUGCUCAUCUAGGAGGCCAAGGCUGUAGUCCUCGUCGACCUACACCUGUCGGAACUUGGCCUCCUGCUCCUCCUGCGGCAUGUCCAUGUAGUGGGAACGGUCCUCGCCGAUGGUGAUGCCUGGAUGCACCGUCGAGGAUGGUGGGGUCAGCUCGUCCUCGGACGUGUCCUCCAUUGGGAUGUCAUCAGCCUCCGUCUGCCUACAGGCCUGCUAGCCGGCAGCAAUGGUGGCCAUCUCCUUCUUCUGCUCGGACGAGAGGUUGUCCUAGAGGGCUUUGGAGUGCCAGGAGGCCAUGGAGGGCGUGGUGUGGAGAAGAGAAAUGGACCAGAGGAGGAUGACUGCCGCUGAAUAAAAAGGUGAAACACUUUGUUGCAUACCAUUGGAAGUUCUUAUGUGAGGUGUUUCAAGUUGAUUAACCGAACUCAUCAUGUUGUUGAUCGGCAUAUGAAUUUCUGGGGUUGCUGAUGCAUGAGAGUUGGAAUACAUAUGGUGCAUGUUACUAGUAUCAUAAGAAGUUGAAGCAUGUAAGUUACUUUAAAUCGGCCCUUGCACCUAAUUAGAUGCAUGAUUGAUAAAACUAGGGCUAGCCGGUACAUUAUGCUCAUUAAGCGAUCUAAUAACAACAUAUGAAUUAUUUGCGUCUACAUAGGUGAGUUGGCUACUCAUAUUAUCUUCGUAGAUUGCAAACCCUAGAUGACGAUCUCUUCCUAGGAAGAACGAGCUAGAGAUAGUUCAACGCUUCGUCUCCAGCGGAGUCAGCAAAAAGUGUGUUAGCACACGAACAUAUCACCAUAUACUCUCGACACCGGAGGUGAUGCAUCGCAGCUUAUGCAGAAAGAGACCCGGCCGGAAGUGCGGUACACAAGAAAUCCGGUGGACGCUUUUGUAGACCCGAAACCCCACAUGCCCGGGAGGGACCCGUCAGGGCACGCGGCGGCUAUGGGAUGCCCUAGGUCGACUUGAUCGCCCUUAGGGCCUUGUGGAUUGCUGCCCUCCAAGACGAAGAAUGAGAAAGAAGAAGAACAAGGGAGAAGGAAAAGAUAAAGAUAAAGAUAAAAGGUGGUAGCUUGAUUUGUUCGAUUAUGUGUUGUUUCAAUCGGCCAUCACCCCUUACAUUUAUAUGAGGCGGCUGGACUCCCCAUACAAGAAAAGGACCCAUAUCCCGUCGAAAACAUUGAAAGUUAACCUAACUCGGAAUAAGAGGUCCGGAACUUCCGGUUCGACCCGGAACUUCCGGACUCAAACUAUAUCAAGUAGCCCUCUUGCACUGAACCUGCAGGUCGCAUAUGGCUUCGGAUCAUGAUGAUCCAAAAAAGCAAAGUUUUUCAUCUUGAAACGGAGAAAAAUUAGUAUGUAGAAUUUUUGUUCAUCCGAGGUCAUCUUGAUAUUGGUUUUGGGUCUGCAAAUCUGCAAAAAAUAUUGAAACUGCAGUUUUCUCAGCGCACAUUGGGUGCAAUGUUUCUGUAAAUCCUGGAACUUUUGGGAUUCCCCUGAAACUUUUGUCCGGAACUUCCGGGGCAGAUUUAUAUAGCAUAUUGUUUUGGCUCUAACUUUUGUGUAAGAAUUCAGAAUGAGACGAUUUUUAUAUCAAAAUCUACCGUUUCAACGAGGUGAAAACAGUCCGUGUAGAACAUGUUCUCAUAUGAGGCCGUCUUGGAGGCGUAAUUGGCCGAACAAUACUCAGAAUACAAAAUCUUUGUAUUGUGAGCAUACUUUCAGCUCUUUAGAUGAGAUCAGAUGGUGAUGACCCAAACAUCAAAGUUUCUCAUUUCGACGAUACAAAACUUUCUCAUGUUGUGCACUUUUCCAUUUGAAGUCAUCUUAAUUAAGUUUUUGACCAUGACAAAAUCGGAUGUCUACACCUACAACUACAACUAUGUCUACGAGCGGAACCUAAACAACUAUGUCACUACAUUAGACGCCACGGUCAAGCCCUUCAUGGGCGACCUUGCGUUUGAGAAGCUCCACAACCUAUCCUACGACGACUUUAACGACUUCACCACCAUCGUCUUUGUCAAUAUCACGUCUUACAACAAAUGGUGCUACUCGAGCCCCUACUAUUAUUGAGCUCCGUUAUGAAAGCCUGGGUCUAACCCAAGUUGGUCACACCUAGCAAUGGGGAUGUUUGUAUACCGUUACCUUGUUGAAGACAUUACUCGGAUAUGGUCGAAGUGGUUCUUCAGGGUAUAAACCUAGAUUCUGGCCUAGAUCCAGUGACGGCAAAGCUUAAGUGUCACUCCCUUUCUGAAGGCGUUACUGUUGAAGAACAUCAUCGUCUGUGUGAUGAUGUGAGAUGAUUGGUGCGAAUAUGGUCAUCGUUAUAGUUUGCCGAUUGCGGAUUUGAUCGCUUUGGGCUUUUUUUUCUCCUUGCCUACACAUAGCCUUUUGUCUUGUAUAUGCCUUGGUUGUUUGCCGUCGUGUUUCUGUGUGUGUGUGUUUGAUGUUGGUUGUAUGCAUCCUACCUAUGCAGAGGCCAGACAUGUACUUAUUAUGUUUUGUAUUUUCUUAAUGUUUCAUUUUAAGUUAAUAAAAUUCACCCUUUGUCGAAAAAACCCCAUGUGCUUUACUUCUCACCGUCGAAGGGAGAUAGGCCAGCUGUCUGGCUUGAGAGGCGGGUGGAUCGGUCGAUACAGGAGGAAAGAAAACCUUUGAACGAGUCGCGAGAGGAGGUUNNNNNNNNNNNNNNNNNNNNNNNNNNNNNNNNNNNNNNNNNNNNNNNNNNNNNNNNNNNNNNNNNNNNNNNNNNNNNNNNNNNNNNNNNNNNNNNNNNNNNNNNNNNNNNNNNNNNNNNNNNNNNNNNNNNNNNNNNNNNNNNNNNNNNNNNNNNNNNNNNNNNNNNNNNNNNNNNNNAGAGUCGCGAGAGGAGGUAUACCAAACCUCUGGUCACUCCUUAUAUAUAGUAAAAAAAAAGAGGUGGAUCGCGGCCCAUAAUUAGUCUCCUCUUGAGGAGUACGUACGCACCACAAUCCACAUAUGAAGGUAAUCAGCAGGCUAUAGGUAGCUCGUGCCGUGAUCGGGAGGAACUAGUAUCCGGACUCGUGUACAAACAUCGCGAAACAAUCAAGAUUAAAUAUACUACUCCUACUAUAUAUACCCGGCUAAUCGAUUAGCUGCUUUUGUGCCUCCCUAGAGCCGUGCAUAGAUUGAUCGAAGAAAGAUGGCCUUGGCGUCGCUGCCGGACGACCUUGUCCUUGAGGUUCUCGAACGUGUCAAAGACGUAGCCACCCUCUUCCGCUGCGCGACGGCAUGCAAGGGUUGGUGCCGCCUUGUCGUCGCCAACCCCACCUUCCUUCGCCGCUGCUUGCCGGAGGACGCAUGUUAUCCCUUUGUUGGCUUCUUUACGCAGCAACGGUGCAGCGACGGCGUCCCCUUCAUUCCAGGGCCGCGUCCUGUUCUGGACCCCAGUCGCCGUUUCCUUGGCUCCCUCGUCCCCAACAUCAACGACAAGUUUAACCAGCCGGUGCCGCUCACCUCACGCCAUGGCCUCCUCCUCGUGCGCCUGAACCGGUAUCAGGGUUGCGGCCUCCUUGGCGUGUGCAACCUGAUCGCCGGCACAUUCGACGUGCUCCCCCCUCUAGAGCAUACAUGGAGUUCCGACAACAACCACCUGGUUGGCUAUGCUAUACUGACGGCUAGAGACUGUGCGAGCUCGAGGGACCACCCCGAGGAGCAGCAGUUGCCCUUUUUCAAGGUGAUGAUCCUGACCAUCGAUGUGAACAUGAUGCAGUACAAUCUCCAAACAAUUUCAUCGGCCAAUGAGUCGGGAUGGAAAAUAUCCUUCGGGGGUCUAAAGAACAAGAGCGAGAGCAUCUAUAUGGUGCUUAGGCAGCACAACGCGGUGGUGUGCCGCGGAAUGGCGCAUUGGCUCUUUUCGAGCACAUCGGGCUUGUACACGCUAGAUGUAGGUGCCCGGACUGAUCACGUGUCCUUUACAAACUUGUUGGACAUGGGACGGAUCGAUAGCUACUUUGGUCGCCCUACUUAUGAUGCACCCUACCUCGCUGUCAACGGGAAGGGGAGGCUCAUGUUGGUCUACUUGAACAAAGGAGGUUACUGGUUGCAGAUAUGCACAUCUCACAACAACGGGAGGUGGCACCAUGCCUUGGCACGCAAGCUAAAACAACCGAACCAGAAGAAAAAUGAGAAGAAGACUCAAGGAAAAGUUCUUUACACUUGCUUGGGAGAGAAGAACGGAAUGUUGAUCGUCAAGGACAACCAUCAUGAUGCCUACGUUAUUGAUAUCAAUACGGGGGUGGUGCAAGAGGUGAUAGAUUCACCACACACUCGUCGCCUCAAUCGGGGAAAGAUUGUGCCCUUUGAAAUGGAUUGGCCGGCCUUCUUUGUUUCUCAGCUUGCUGUGGUACCUACAUGGUAGGAUUCAUCUAUUUUUGUGUUUGCACCACUACACCUGUAGCUUGAAACAUAAAUGUUCGGUUGAUUGUGAUCACUAAAUGUACUCAUGCAUGUCAAGCGGGCCACAUGGUUGCACAAGCUUUCUUAUGUGGUAGUAUCGGCUUCACUGACUUCUAGUUAUAUAUUGGCACAUUUUAUUAGUACGAUCUNNNNNNNNNNNNNNNNNNNNNNNNNNNNNNNNNNNNNNNNNNNNNNNNNNNNNNNNNNNNNNNNNNNNNNNNNNNNNNNNNNNNNNNNNNNNNNNNNNNNNNNNNNNNNNNNNNNNNNNNNNNNNNNNNNNNNNNNNNNNNNNNNNNNNNNNNNNNNNNNNNNNNNNNNNNNNNNNNNNNNNNNNNNNNNNNNNNNNNNNNNNNNNNNNNNNNNNNNNNNNNNNNNNNNNNNNNNNNNNNNNNNNNNNNNNNNNNNNNNNNNNNNNNNNNNNNNNNNNNNNNNNNNNNNNNNNNNNNNNNNNNNNNNNNNNNNNNNNNNNNNNNNNNNNNNNNGAAGAUCAGAAGGUACCCUUCAAUAAAGAAUGAUAAUAUAAUCUUUUGUAAUCAAAUUAGACUACUCAAUAUUUUUGAUCUGCAUGCUAAUAUGAUCAUAGCUUUAUUAAAUAACUUUAAGAUUCGUGCAAACUUUUAAGGGGAGGUGUACCGAAGCAAGACUCAUUUCCAAGAACUUGUAAACUAACUUGACUCACAACAAGACAACUCCUGCUAAUUAAUCCUAACCAACACAAACUUGCAGUUAUGCCUACAUGCAUCUCCUCCAAGUUUAUGCACGGCUGGCUGGGCGGUUGCUGGGGCCAUUUACCGCUAGCACGUCACUGGUGUUGCUUGCUCCAUGGGAGGUUUCACUUGCGCAUGGUCCACCGUUGAGCUAUAAAUGUUCAUACUCUAUUUGCUAUGGUUUCCUGUUGAUUCAGUUGUAUGUUUGUAAAAUUAUGAUGUGCCUCAUUAAAUCGAUUUGUUAUUUGAGGAAGACGUUUGGUCUGUCGCUACCGAUUGCACAAACGGGAUCGUGGUGGAGUCUGAUGUGGGCUUUGUCCUCCUAUAAGUGGGAUGCACCCACCACGAAAGGUCAAAACACACUGUUGUGGCAACAAUUUUGUUCGCCAUUUUAGUUUGGACAGAUCCUUUUAUGUGUGUUAAGAAAAAUAGGGGGAGGAGGAUGUUGUAGAAGUACAGGAGCCGCAAGGGUGAUAGUAAGGAUCUGAAGGCUUCUUGCUCUUUCUCCACAUUGACCUGAAGCAUGUGUUGGGGCACAUCUGUGUAAGCAGCUUGCGAGUCCUUUGUUUCAAGGAAGUAUGGGAGCUGGUUGGAGAAAUUGUGGAAGUGUGGCCUGUUUCGUCAGUCUUAGUUUUUUUUAACGUUAACAGUAUGCAAAUCCCCUCUGGUAGUCACAAGAUUAUUUUUCAACACUGUUAUCAUGAGUCGACCGCUAUGGCUCAUGAGCUAGCUCAUGUUUGAAGGGAUAAGCCACCAGGAGUGCAGCUAGAUGCCUCUCUGACUUCAAUUCAAUUUUUAUUUAUUGAUGUUUUAACUAUUAUUUAAAUUAGUAUAAUGCCCGUGCGUUGCCACGGGCCAAAAAAAUUAUAUAUAGAGAUAGUACCAUUCAAAUAAAUUGUAAUUCAUCACGUGGAUGUUGCAUGCGACUUAUGAUUAUAUUGCUAUAAAUAUCGGUUCUUCUAAUACAUAUUUUCUCGUCCCAUGUAUGGAGAGGGGAUGAAGUGAAGCUGCUGCCACUCACGAUGGUGAUGUUUGUCGAUGGCAUUGCAACGGAAUUUUUUUUGUACAAACUCGAUUUUUCUAAUCAGAAAUGUUUAUUGAACUUGACAUAAUAUGGUUUUCAUUCACAGUGUCAAGUAUUCACUCUCACCCGCUUCUUUUUAGAGCAAAAGGCCCCAACCCGGUUUCUUCUAGAAAAUGAGACCAGGUGUAGCAAUGAUACCCUUUAUGGCCCCUAACAGGGCAACAAUGCGAUGUGGAAGAACUAAAAAUAAAAUGCUAAAAGCAUGAUUUACUAAGGAUAACCGUUCACAUGCCUAAACAGAGUUGGUCGGUGUCGGUAUCAAUGCCUGAUGAUUCGGUGAUUGAAGUGACAAGGCACGACGAAAUAGCAUAAUAGACAAUUAGGAAUUGCAGCGUCAAAAGAAAUUGGAGCGAUUCGAAGAGAAACAAGCGCUCAGUGAAACUAAGGCAUCACGAUGUCCAGGAAUCGCGGGCCAUCUAGGUGCCCUUCUUUUCCUUUUAAGCAGGAGGAGCAGAUGUGUGCACAAUGACGUAAUGUGCCUAGCAGCUAGGUGGACAUGCUAAUGUGGACCAUGGGCUAAUGAAUGUUAAGACUGAAAUAUUAUCAUCAAUUGUGCACUACAUAUCUUAUCUUCACAAUGCAACAUGAACAGGACUCGUGUUUAAUACAGCAAACAGAACAUAAAAUUAGAAAUUGCGGGGUUGUUUGGCUGGAGGGACGGUAAUUAGGGAGGGGUGGUGGGGUGGAUUAUGAGUUUGAGGGUUGAACUCCUGUCAUUUUAGAAAGUUUAAUAUACCUUGGCACUUCAUGAUGAUCCGUCACAGGAUGCAUUUCAAGAUACAAAUCAGCCAUUCAUAAUUUUUGUCUGUCUUACCAAACAUGGAAGUGAAACUAAAACCAGAAUUCACAUGCCUAAUCCCACCAUGAUCGCCCACCCUGUCCCAUAUUGAUGUCAAAGCCAAACAAGCCAGAGAAGAUAUAUAGAACAAUGCAAUGUUGGACAAAAACUAUCUUACAUGAAUAGUCCAUUGUCAUUCUCUAACAGCUAGCUUCUGGUUAGGAUCACCAAAUGUACGACCGGAGAACACCAAACUACUAAGAUCAAUGAAGAGAGAAACUAAACAUUUGAAAAGUAGGCAAUGAUAUAAAUAAUAAUUUAGAACUUCAUCAGUUGUUGACACCAUAUAACAAUCAAGAACACAGAAGAUAUGUGACUGCUAAUUACUCGACAGAUGUAAUAUGGAAGCUCAAGUUCCAUCUGUAAUACCUACAAUGUUAGGAGUCAUCUUAACCCAAAUAGGCAUCACGGCCUUCUCAUUUAUCCAACCAGAAACCUCCUCUAACAAGGCAUGGUCCUGUCAAACAGUGGCACAUUUUUCGCUCAGGCAUGCCAUGUUGGCAUGAGAAAUAAUCUCAAGAGCAUCCUAUUUAACCAAUAAUCUCAAGAGCAUCCCGCGAGAUCUACCUCGCCCUCUGGCGGUACCGCUAGCGUCGGGCUAAACUGCAUGCCGCCUACAAGGAGUUCAACGAGGCAGCGGAUGAGGUGUAGGGCAAGACCGACGACGAGGAGGACAUCGCCAGCUGCGCCCCACCGCCAUGACCACGAAGCCGGCACGUCCGCAGGCGUCACCGGCAAUGAGGAAGAGUAGUGUACGGUACAUCGCCGCCCCUCAGGUAGAGCCAUCGCUCCUUCUGGUUUAUAUGAAAUCCACCAUGUUUGCAUGAAUCUCUUUGGGUUUAUUUCAAAAUCCGUCUGGUUUGCACGAAUUUCGUCCAGUUGGUCCAAAAUGUUGUUGAAAUAUAUGCAAGCAGCGUUGGAUGGUGGCCUCCGACAUUAGUGCCCCCCCCCACCCCCUACGUCCGCGGACGGGUACAGGAGGAAAAUUGCGGGUUGGCAUUGGUGAUGCCCUUAAGCUUGUGGAUUAUCAAAUUGUUACUUUCUCAUCAUAUUUUAGGUACAAACAUUGGUGUUGUUUUGCUUAGUAUGGAAGCAUAAACAUUAUUAUGCCUGUAUUGCUUCAAAAGUGUCAUUCUUUGCUAGUAAUAUCUGCAUUCCGCAACUAAUCUUUGCACGUUGUACAUUUCCGCUUAGUAGUUUUCCUAUGUCCAAUGGUCUAUUAGGUUGCAUUGUCAGAAGAUCUGGCAAAAGUUUUUUUUAGUCAUCUGGUUCAUGUGUAAUUUACCUUGACAUACCAAGCUCUUGUUGAAUAAAAAUACAAUUGGUGGCCAUUUUUUUGCAUGAAUAACUGAAUAAAUGCAUCAUGCCUCUUCGCUUUAAGUACUCCCUUCGUCAAAGUUUACUCGGCGUGGUUUGAUUCUCAUGCAUUUCCACCACCCGAGAGAUUUUAGUCAUGUUUGGUUAAUAAAUUAGGGCGUGGUAACGGCAAUCAAACCCCCAAUUUUUUGUCCAUCCUUUUUUUCCUUCGCAGGUGUGUACGCGGGGUGGAAAAGCUUUAUGCAUAGUGCGAACACAUUUACUUUUGGUAGGUGUGAACACAUUUGGCACUCUGCAUGCUCCUCUCGUUCCUUCGGACUCCUCUUCUUGCUGGCUAUUCUUCUUAUUCUUCUUUCAUCAAUAUACAGCAACGGAUGAAGCACUCCAUCCUGCAUAGAAGAAACAUAAGCGAUGGCUGAAGGUGAGGAGCGUGGAGAGGUUGUGGUGGUGGAGGACCAGAUCAUGGCGGAUUCGAAUGGAGAGGCCGUCGUGGUGGAGGUGGAGAGCAAAACCAAACACCCAUUAGAUGUUUUGGAAGGUGAUCAAGUCAUGGUUGAUGACGAAUAGUUCGUCGAUAGUUUUUGCUCAUGCCUCCAAGUCAUGUUGAUGGAUUACGUGUUGGAAAUAUGCCCUAGAGGCAAUAAUAAAAGUGUUAUUAUUAUAUUUCCUUGUUCAUGAUAAUUGUCUUUUAUUCAUGCUAUAACUGUAUUAUCCGGAAAUCGUAAUACACGUGUGAAUACAUAGACCACAAUAUGUCCCUAGUGAGCCUCUAGUUGACUAGCUCGUUGUGAUCAACAGAUAGUCAUGGUUUCCUGGCUAUGGACAUUGGAUGUCGUUGAUAACGGGAUCACAUCAUUAGGAGAAUGAUGUGAUGGACAAGACCCAAUCCUAAGCAUAGCACAAAGAUCGUGUAGUUCGUUUGCUAGAGCUUUGCCAAUGUCAAGUAUCUCUUCCUUUGACCAUGAGAUCGUGUAACUCCUGGAUACCGUAGGAGUGCCUUGGGUGUAUCAAACGUCACAACGUAACUGGGUGACUAUAAAGGUACACUACAGGUAUCUCCGAAAGUAUCUAUUGUUUUAUGCGGAUCGAGACUGGGAUUUGUCACUCCGUGUAAACGGAGAGGUAUCUCUGGGCCCACUCGGUAGGACAUCAUCAUAUGCGCAAUGUGACCAAUGAGUUGAUCACGAGGUGAUGUGUUACGGAACGAGUAAAGUGACUUGCCGGUAACGAGAUUGAACAAGGUAUCGGUAUACCGACGAUCGAAUCUCGGGCAAGUAACACACCGAUAGACAAAGGGAAUUGAAUACGGGAUUGAUUAAGUCCUUGACAUCGUGGUUCAUCCGAUGAGAUCAUCGUGGAACAUGUGGGAGCCAACAUGGGUAUCCAGAUCCCGCUGUUGGUUAUUGACCGGAGAACGUCUCGGUCAUGUCUGCAUGUCUCCCGAACCCGUAGGGUCUACACACUUAAGGUUCGAUGACGCUAGGGUUAUAAAGGAAGCUUGUAUGUGGUUACCGAAUGUUGUUCGGAGUCCCGGAUGAGAUCCCGGACGUCACGAGGAGUUCCGGAAUGGUCCGGAGGUAAAGAUUUAUAUAUAGGAAGUCCUGUUUCGGCCAUCGGGACAAGUUUCGGGGUCAUCGGUAUUGUACCGGGACCACCGGAAGGGUCCCGGGGGCCCACCGGGUGGGGCCACCUGCCCCGGGGGGCCACAUGGGCUGUAGGGGGUGCGCCUUGGCCUACAUGGGCCAAGGGCACCAGCCCCUAGAGGCCCAUGCGCCAAGAUAAAAGAAAAAGGGGAGAGUCCUAAAAGGGGAAGGCACCUCCGAGGUGCCUUGGGGAGGAUGGACUCCUCCCCCCCUCCUUAGCCGCACCCCUUUCUUGGAGUAGGGGGCAAGGCUGCGCCUCUCCCCUCUCCCCUGCCCCUAUAUAUAGUGGAGGGGAGGGAGGGCAUCCACACCUGAGCCCUUGGCGCCUCCCUCCCUCCCGUGACACCUCCUCCUCUCCCGUAGGUGCUUGGCGAAGCCCUGCAGGAUUGCCACGCUCCUCCACCACCACCACGCCGUUGUGCUGCUGCUGGAUGGAGUCUUCCUCAACCUCUCCCUCUCUCCUUGCUGGAUCAAGGCAUGGGAGACGUCACCGGGCUGUACGUGUGUUGAACGCGGAGGUGCCGUCCGUUCGGCACUUGAUCAUCGGUGAUCUGAAUCACGACGAGUACGACUCCAUCAACCCCGUUCACUUGAACGCUUCCGCUUAGCGAUCUACAAGGGUAUGUAGAUGCACUCUCUUUCUACUCGUUGCUGGUCUCUCCAUAAAUAGAUCUUGGUGUUACGUAGGAAAAUUUUUUGAAUUUCUGCUACGUUCCCCAACAGUGGCAUCAUGAGCUAGGUCUAUUGCGUAGAUUCUUUGCACGAGUAGAACACAAAGUAGUUGUGGGCGUUGAUGUUGUUCAAUAUGCUUACCGUUACUAGUCCAAUCUUGUUUCGACGGUAUUGUGGGAUGAAGCGGCCCGGACCGACCUUACACGUACUCUUACGUGAGACAGGUUCCACCGAUUGACAUGCACUUGGUGCAUAAGGUGGCUAGCGGGUGCCAGUCUCUCCCACUUUAGUCGGAACGGAUUCGAUGAAAAGGGUCCUUAUGAAGGGUAAAUAGCAAUUGGCAUAUCACGUUGUGGUCUUGCGUAGGUAAGAAACGUUCUUGCUAGAAACCCAUAGCAGCCACGUAAAACAUGCAACAACAAUUAGAGGACGUCUAACUUGUUUUUGCAGGGUAUGCUAUGUGAUGUGAUAUGGCCAAAAGAAUGUGAUGAAUGAUAUGUGAUGUAUGAGAUUGAUCAUGUUCUUGUAAUAGGAUUCACGACUUGCAUGUCGAUGAGUAUGACAACCGGCAGGAGCCAUAGGAGUUGUCUUUAUUUUUUGUAUGACCUGCUGUCAUUGAAGAACGCCAUGUAAACUACUUUACUUUAUUGCUAAACGCAUUAGUCAUAGAAGUAGAAGUGGUCGUUGGCGUGACAACUUCAUGAAGACACGAUGAUGGAGAUCAUGAUGAUGGAGAUCAUGGUGUCAUGCCGGUGACAAGAUGAUCAUGGAGCCCCGAAGAUGAAGAUCGAAGGAGCUAUAUGAUAUUGGCCAUAUCAUGUCACUACUCUAUUUGAUUGCAUGUGAUGUUUAUCAUGUUUAUGCAUCUUGUUUGCUUAGAACGACGGUAGUAAAUAAGAUGAUCCCUUACAAAAUUUCAAGAAGUGUUCUCCCCUAACUGUGCACCGUUGCUACAGUUCGUCGCUUCUAAGCACCACGUGAUGAUCGGGUGUGAUGGAUUCUUACGUUCACAUACAACGGGUGUAAGACAGUUUUACACAGCGAAAACACUUAGGGUUAACUUGACGAGCCUAGCAUGUGCAGACAUGGCCUCGGAACACGGAGACCGAAAGGUCGAGCAUGAGUCGUAUAGUAGAUACGAUCAACAUGAAGAUGUUCACCGAUGAUGACUAGUCCGUCUCACGUGAUGAUCGGACACGGCCUAGUUGACUCGGAUCAUGUAAUCACUUAGAUGACUAGAGGGAUGUCUAUCUGAGUGGGAGUUCAUAAGAUGAACUUAAUUAUCUUGAACAUAGUCAAAAGACCUUUUGCAAAUUAUGUCGUAGUUCACGCUAUAGUUCUACUGUUUUAGAUAUGUUCCUAGAGAAAUUAUAGUUGAAAGUUGAUAGUAGCGAUUAUGCGAUCAGUAGAAAGCUUAUGUCCUUAAUGCACCGCUUAGUGUGCUGAACCCCAAACGUCGUUUGUGGAUGUUGCGAACAUCGGACAUACACGUUUUGAUAACUACGUGAUAGUUCAGUUAAAUGGUUUAAGUAGAGGCACCAAAGACGUUUUCGAAACAUCGCGGAACAUAUGAGAUGUUUCGAGGGCUGAAAUUGGGAUUUCAGGCUCGUGCCCACGUCAAGAGGUAUGAGACCUCUGGCGAUUUUCUUAGCCUGCAAACUAAGGGAGAAAAGCUCAAAUCGUUGAGCUUGUGCUCAGAUUGUCUGAGUGCAACAAUCACUUGAAUCAAGUGGGAGUUAAUCUUCCAGAUGAGAUAGUGAUGUUUCCCCAAAGUCAUUGCCACCGAGCUGCUAGAGCUUCGUGAUGAACUAUAACAUAUCAGGGAUAAAUAAGAUGAUCCUUGAAGUAUUCACGAUGUUUGACACCGCGAAAGUAGAAAUCAAGAAGGAGCAUCAAUUAAUGAUGGUUGGUGAAACCACUAGUUUCAAGAAGGGCAAGGGCAAGAAGGGAUACUUCAUGAAACGGCAAAUCAGAUGCUGCUCCAGUGAAGAGACCCAAGGUUGAACCCAAACCCGAGACUAAGUGCUUCUGUAAUAAGGGGAACAGUCACUAGAGCAAAAUUACCCUAGAUACUUGGUAGAUGAGAAGGCUGGCAAGGUCGAUAGAAGUAUAUUGGAUAUACAUUAAGUUAAUGUGUACUUUACUAGUACUCCUAGUAGCACCAGGGUAUUAGAUACCGGUUCGGUUGCUAAGUGUUAGUAUCUCGAAAUAAAAGCUACGGAAUAAAACGGAGACUAGCUAAAGGUGAGCUGACGAUACGUGUUGGAAGUGUUUCCAAGUUUGAUGUGAUCUAACAUUGCACGCUCCCUCUACCAUCAAGAUUAGUAUUAAACCUGAAUAAGUGCUCUUGCACCUAAAGGAAUGGUUUAUUGAAUUUUGAUCGUAGGGAUACACAUUUUCAUGCCAAAAGAUAUAAGAUAGUAAUGAUAGUACCACUUACUUGUGGCACUGCCAUGUAAGUCAUAAUGGUAUAAAACGCAUGAAGAAGCUCCAUGUUGAUGGAUCUUUGGACUCACUCGUUUUAGAAAAGUUUGAGACAUGCGAACCAUGUCUAUUGGUGUAUACGCAUGAAGAAACUCCAUGCAGAUGGAUCGUUUGGACUCACUUGAUUAUGAAUCACUUGAGAUAUGCAAAUCAUACCACAUGGGCAAGAUGACUGAAAAGCCUCGUUUUCAGUAAGAUGGAACAAGAUAACAACUUAUUGGAAGUAACACAUUUUGAUGUGUCCAAUCCAAUGAGUGCUGAGGCAUGCAGUGAAUAUCGUUAUGAUCUUACUUCACAGAUGAUUCGAGUAGAUGUUGAGAAUAUUUACUUGAUGAAACACAAGUCUGAAUUAUUGAAUGGUUCAAGUAAUUUCAGAGUGAAGUAGAAGAUCAUUGUGACAAGAGGAUAAAAUGUCUAUGAUAUGAUCAUAGAGAUGAAUAUCUGAGUUACGAGUUUUGGCACACAAUUAAGACAUUGUGGAAAUUGUUUUACAAUUAAUACCGCCUGGAACACCAUAGAGUGAUGGUGUGUCCGAACAUCAUAGUUGCACCCUAUUGGAUAUGGUGCGUACCAUGAUGUCUCUUAUUGAAUUACCACUAUCGUUCAUGGGUUAGGCAUUAGAGACAACCACAUUCACUUUAAAUAGGGCACCACGUAAUUCCGAUGAGAUGACACCGUAUGAAUUAUGGUUUAGAGAAACCUAAGUUGUCGUUUCUUUGGGGCUGCGACGCUUAUAUGAAAAAGUUUCAGGUUGAUAAGCUCGAACCCAAAGCGGAUAAAAUGCAUCUUCAUAGGAAACCCAAAACAGUUGGGUAUACCUCCUAAUUCAGAUCCGAAAGCAAUAUGGGUUGUUUCUAGAAUCGGGUCCUUUCUCGAGGAAAAGUUUCUCUCGAAAGAAUUGAGUGGGAGGAUGGUGGAGACUUGAUGAGGUUAUUGAACCGUCUCUUCAACUAGUGUGUGGCAGAGCACAGGAAGUUGUUCCUGUGGCACCUACACCAAUUGAAGUGGAAGCUUAUGAUAUUGAUCAUGAAACUUCGGAUCAAGUCACUACCAAACCUCGUAGGACGACAAGGACACGUACUACUUCGGAGUGGUAAGGUGAUCCUGUCUUGGAAGUCAUGUUGCUAGACAACAAUGAACCUACGAGCUAUGGAGAAGCGAUGGUGGGCCCGGAUUCCGAUAAAUGGCUCGAGGCCAUAAAAUCCGAGAACGGAUCCAUGGACUUUGGUGGACUUGCCCGAUGAUCGGCAAUACAUUGAGAUAAAUGGAUCUUUUAAGAAGAAGACGGACGUGGAUGGUAAUAUCACCAUCUAUGAAGCUCGACUUGUGGCGAAGUGUUUUCCGACAAGUUCAAGGAGUUGACUACGAUGAGAUUUUCUCACUCGUAGCGAUGCUUAAAGUCCGUCGGAAUCAUGUUAGCAUUAGCUGCAUUUAUGAAAUCUGGCAGAUGGAUGUCAAGACAAGUUUCCUUACUAGUUUUCGUAAGGAAAGGUUGUAUGCAAUACAAUCAGAAAAGUUUUGUCGAUCCUAAGGAUGCUAAAAGGUAUGCUAGCUACAGCGAUCCUUCUAAGGACUGGAGUAAGCAUCUCGGAGUUGGAAUGUACGCUUUGAUGAGAUGAUCAAAGAUUUUGGAUUUAUACAAAGUUUAUGAGAAACUUGUAUUUCCAAAGAAGUGAGUGGGAGCACUAUAGAAUUUCUGAUGAGUAUAUGUUGUUGACAUAUUGUUGAUCAGAAAUGACGUAGAAUUUCUGGAAAGCAUAUAGGGUUAUUUUGAAAGUGUUUUUCAAUGGAAAGCCCGGAUUAAGCCUACUUGAACAUUGAGCAUCAAGAUCUAUAAGGAUAGAUCAAAAUGCUUAAUAAUACUUUCAAAUGAGCACAUACCUUGACAUGAUCUUGAAGGUGUUCAAGAUGGACCAGUCAAAGAAGGAGUUCUUGCCUGAGUUGUAAGGUACGAAGUUAAGACUUAAAGCUCGACCACGGCAGAAUAGAGAGAAAGGACGAAGGUCGUCCCCUAUGCUUAAGACGUAGGCUCUUCAGUAUGCUAUGCUGUGUACCGCACCUGAAGUGUGCCUUGCCAUGAGUCAGUCAAGGGGUACAAGAGUGAUCCAAGAAUGGCUCACAGGACAGCGGUCAAAGUUAUCCUUAGUAACUAGUGGACUAAGGAAUUUUCUCGAUUAUGGAGGUGGUAAAAGAGUUCGUCGUAAAGGUUACGACGAUGCAAGCUUGACACCUAUCCGGAUAGCUCUGAGUAGAGAGACCGGAUACAUAUAAUGGAGCAACAAUUUUGAAUAGCUCCAAGUAGAACAGUUAUUUGGAAUAGCUCCAAAUAGAGCGUGGUAGCUGCAUCUAGGAGAUGACAUAGAGAUUUGUAAAGCACACACGGAUCUGAAAGGUUCAAACCCGUUGACUAAAACCUCUCUCACAAGCAACAUGAUCAAACAUAAAACUCAUUGAGUGUUAGUCACAUAGUGAUGUGAACUAGACUACUCUUGGGUAUUAGUCACAUGGCGAUGUGACCUGUGAGUGUUAAUCACAUGGCGAUGUGAACUAGAUUAUUGACUCUAGUGCAAGUGGGAGACUAUUGGAAAUAUGCCCUAGAGGCAAUAAUAAAAGUGUUAUUAUUAUAUUUCCUUGUUCAUGAUAAUUGUCUUUUAUUCAUGCUAUAACUGUAUUAUCCGGAAAUCGUAAUACACGUGUGAAUACAUAGACCACAAUAUGUCCCUAGUGAGCCUCUAGUUGACUAGCUCGUUGUGAUCAACAGAUAGUCAUGGUUUCCUGGCUAUGGACAUUGGAUGUCGUUGAUAACGGGAUCACAUCAUUAGGAGAAUGAUGUGAUGGACAAGACCCAAUCCUAAGCAUAGCACAAAGAUCGUGUAGUUCGUUUGCUAGAGCUUUGCCAAUGUCAAUUAUCUCUUCCUUUGACCAUGAGAUCGUGUAACUCCUGGAUACCGUAGGAGUGCCUUGGGUGUAUCAAACGUCACAACGUAACUGGGUGACUAUAAAGGUACACUACAGGUAUCUCCGAAAGUAUCUAUUGUUUUAUGCGGAUCGAGACUGGGAUUUGUCACUCCGUGUAAACGGAGAGGUAUCUCUGGGCCCACUCGGUAGGACAUCAUCAUAUGCGCAAUGUGACCAAUGAGUUGAUCACGGGAUGAUGUGUUACGAAACGAGUAAAGUGACUUGCCGGUAACGAGAUUGAACAAGGUAUCGGUAUACCGACGAUCGAAUCUCGGGCAAGUAACAUACCGAUAGACAAAGGGAAUUGAAUGCGGGAUUGAUUAAGUCCUUGACAUCGUGGUUCAUCCGAUGAGAUCAUCGUGGAACAUGUGGGAGCCAACAUGGGUAUCCAGAUCCCGCUGUUGGUUAUUGACCGGAGAACGUCUCGGUCAUGUCUGCAUGUCUCCCGAACCCGUAGGGUCUACACACUUAAGGUUCGAUGACGCUAGGGUUAUAAAGAAAGCUUGUAUGUGGUUACCGAAUGUUGUUCGGAGUCCCGGAUGAGAUCCCGGACGUCACGAGGAGUUCCGGAAUGGUCCGGAGGUAAAGAUUUAUAUAUAGGAAGUCCUGUUUCGGCCAUCGGGACAAGUUUCGGGGUCAUCGGUAUUGUACCGGGACCACCGGAAGGGUCCCGGGGGCCCACCGGGUGGGGCCACCUGCCCCGGGGGGCCACAUGGGCUGUAGGGGGUGCGCCUUGGCCUACAUGGGCCAAGGGCACCAGCCCCUAGAGGCCCAUGCGCCAAGAUAAAAGAAAAAGGGGAGAGUCCUAAAAGGGGAAGGCACCUCCGAGGUGCCUUGGGGAGGAUGGACUCCUCCCCCCCUCCUUAGCCGCACCCCUUUCUUGGAGUAGGGGGCAAGGCUGCGCCUCUCCCCUCUCCCCUGCCCCUAUAUAUAGUGGAGGGGAGGGAGGGCAUCCACACCUGAGCCCUUGGCGCCUCCCUCCCUCCCGUGACACCUCCUCCUCUCCCGUAGGUGCUUGGUGAAGCCCUGCAGGAUUGCCACGCUCCUCCACCACCACCACGCCGUUGUGCUGCUGCUGGAUGGAGUCUUCCUCAACCUCUCCCUCUCUCCUUGCUGGAUCAAGGCAUGGGAGACGUCACCGGGCUGUACGUGUGUUGAACGCGGAGGUGCCGUCCGUUCGGCACUUGAUCAUCGGUGAUCUGAAUCACGACGAGUACGACUCCAUCAACCCCGUUCACUUGAACGCUUCCGCUUAGCGAUCUACAAGGGUAUGUAGAUGCACUCUCUUUCUACUCGUUGCUGGUCUCUCCAUAGAUAGAUCUUGGUGUUACGUAGGAAAAUGUUUUGAAUUUCUGCUACGUUCCCCAACAUUACGAUCAUCACAAAGCACGUGUCAACGAGUUGUUCGCCAAGCUUCAAGACAUCUACACCAAGUGAUCCGAGCCCUCUGCACCGAUCGACGUUCAGCAAUCGACGUGUGUGGCAUGCAUACAUCUGUGGGGUGCACCAAGUGUGGCGUCCAUGGUGACCGUACAAUUUUUCUUUGCUUGGGAUGUAGGCUGCCGGUGCUAAAAGAGUUGUGUUCUUGCGACGUGUGAGGCAACCAUAUUCUUUACUGCAAUACUUGGUGCAAAGAUUGUGCAACGGUCGCGGCGAUGGACAAAACUGGGGUUUUGUGUUCUAUGCGGUCGCAACCCCACCAAACUUUCAAAGGGUGAAUAUAAUGGCGUAGUCAUGCCCGAUAGCGAGGCAAAUUAGUAUGGAGGGUCGAUGAACUUCUAUCAUCGAGUUAUGGAUCAUAUAUGUUAGUUUGAGUUGAAGUGGGCAUCGAUGGAAGUUUGAGUUUAAGUGGAUCAUCUACUCUUAUAUAAGUUGGGGUCGAAGUGAGCAUUAAUGUAAAAUUUAUCUGUAGUGGACAAUUUAAGUUGAGUUCAAUUAGCUCAUCUAUAAAAGUUUUCAUGUUUUGAGCAUUUAUGUAUAUAUUUUUUGUUGUAGCACCAUGAAGUACGUAAAUGCUCAUGUACUCAUGGUGUGGCAAAGAAUCAUGAUUUAGUUCAAGUCUUUUGCGCAAAGAAGCAAGUUAAAUGAUGCAAACUGUUAUGAACUUGCACCAUUUAACUUGCUUUUUUGUGCAAAAGACUUAACUAAAUCAUGAUUCUUGGCCACACUAUGAGUACAUGAACAUUUCUUCAUGGUGUUACAAAAAAAAUACAUAGUCUGAAAACAUUAAUACUUCUAUAAAUGAUCCAUUGAACUAAACUUAAAUUAUCCACUACAAAUAAAUUUUACAUUGGUGCUCACUUCAACUCGAACUUAUAUAAGACUAGAUGAUCCACUUAAACUCAAACUUACAUAGAUCGAUGAUGCAUAAUUCGAUGAUAGAAGUUCAUCGACCCUACAUACUAAUUCGCCUCGCUAUCGGGCGCGACUGCGCCAUUGUCAUCGUCUUUUGAAAAUUCGGUGGGGCUGCGACCGACCCUGCUUUAUCCAUCGUCGCAACCGUUCCACAAUAUUUGCACCAAGUAUUGCAGGGAAGAAUAUGGUUGCCUCACAUGUUGCAAGAACGCAACUCUUUUGCCACCGCCUACAUCCCACGCAAAGAAAAAUUGUACGGUCGCCAUGGACACCACACUUGGUGCACACCCACAGAUGUAUGCAUGCCACACACGUUGAUUGUUGAACGUCAAUCGGUGCAGGGGGCUCGAAACGCUUGGUGCAGAUGGCUUCAAGCUUGGUGAACAACUCAUUGGUGCAUGCUUUGCGAUGACCAUAAUCCGCCAACAUCACUUCGAGGCGUGCGCGGCAAGUCUCGACGAACUACUCGUCAUCAACCAUGACUUGAUCACCUUCCACAACAUCCAAGGGGUGCUUGGUUUGGCUCUCCACCUCCACCAUGAUGGCCUCUCCAUCUGAAUCUGCGAUGAUCUGCUCCUCCACCACCAUAGUCUCUCCACCCUCCUCACCUUCAGCCAUCGCUUCUGUUACUUCUGUGCAGGAUAGAGUGCUUCAUUCGUUUCUUUAUAUAGAUGAAAGAAGAAGAAUAGCCAGCAAGAAGAGGAGUCAGAAGGAACGAGAGGAGCAUGCAGAUUGCCAAACGUGUUCACUCCUACCAAAAGUAAAUUUGCUCGCACUAUGCAUGUAGCUUUACCACCCCACGUACACACCUGCAAAGGAAUACAGAUGGAUAGAAAAAUGGGGGCUUGAUUGCCAUUAUCACACCCUAAUUAAUUGUUCAGUAAAACAAACGCGCCUGAAAUCCCUCCAGUGGUGGAAAUGCAUGAAAAUCAAACCACGCCGAGUAAACUAUGACGGAGGGAGUCGUGAAGUGUGGUCAUCUUUAAAUGUUAAAUAAGAAACCCCAUGGCUCAAAUGAAGAUGGUUGGUUCUUCGAGUUUGCGCUCAGUUCCUUGUUAGGUCAUGCUAGAUUGUUAAGGGAUCAUUUGUCCCAAUUUUCCACCUUGCUUUAAAAAAAUCCCUUUGUAUCAUAGGAGGGUUCAAUUUCAUGCGUGGUCGCAUAAAUUGUUUCAUAUAAUAAAACUUACGCGCCCAGAAAUUAGUUCCCUUUGGCUGAAACUCAAAGUUGCAAUACGAAGACAGUAAAAUUCUCCCGAGUAGAUAAGUGCUAGAUCACUUCUAGACAUUAAUGUUCUUUGUGUUUUAAAUUAUCAAUUCUUCUGUGAAGCUAAUCUUGAUACGUGAAGAUGUAGCAUAAUUUGUUAACGUGUUUUGAGCAUCGUCUAGGUGUCAAUCUUAGCAUCCUCUAUAUUAUGUAAAAUGAUGGAUUUCUAAAUUGAAAAACUACAACACAUGGUUAUGUCUUUGGAAUUCAAAGUGGGGUUGUGGAAGGGUCGAGGGAUUAUGAGGCGGAUGUGUCAUUGACGGUGAUGUCGUGCUUGGAUUAGGGAGGUGAGAUGGUGAUGGAAGAAGUAGCAGAGUGAUUUUAAAGGUAUAUGUUGGUUAUGAUUGGUAUCAAACCACGAGAAUAUUUAUGGCCCGUAGCAACGCACGGGCAAUUACCUAGUUUGAAUCAAAGGAGCUCUACACUUUGGUCUGGUCAGCCAACCUUCUCCCUUUUUUGGGUAAAACUGAGACCCUCCAAAGAGGGCCAUCCUCAGCGUGUUAAUUAAGAUUAAAGUAUAUCAUAGGGGCGUAAAAGUACUUUCCUUUUUACAGAAGUAACCCUAGGAAAUAAUGAAAUUAUUAUAAAGCAGUCUAGAAAAGGCACUUGCACCAUCAAAAGCCGAUAGGCGAUACACGCGUCAGUCUUGAGUACAGGCGUUGCUUCAGACUCCUUAGCAGUCUCCACAUCACCGCCUAUGAUCGAAGAUGACCUAUCCAUGAUGGGCUGACACUCCGGCAACGACCUGCGAGAGGGCAACACCAUCAAUGGCCUGUGACACUCUAACGACUCAGUCUUGGCCGUGGGUUUUGCAGCAAUCAUAGGAGCUUUGACGAAGACCGGGGAGAAGAAAACGCCAAUGCCUUGUAUAUUGUAGAAGCAUAUGCAUCGGCGACCAGACCAGCAGACACCGCUUCAUCGGCAUAAGAUUUCCCAGCAAUGAGCCUAACAAUAAUAAUAGCUCUUUUUUCCCUUCUCAAGCGACAUUGAGCAGACUUUGGACCAUGAGAGCAUCUCCAAUAACUUGUUGGUUAGCUUGUUGGUAAAUAUAUCUAGUCAUCAACAAACAAUGUAUUAUAGAAGUACUGCAAUGGUUGUAUCUUGUAUGUAAGGUUGAUCAAUGGGAGGUGAGAGCAUCUACAACCAGACCCAUCAUAUAAGGUUGAUCAAUGGGAGGUGAGAGUAUCUUGUAUAUUGUCCUCAAUCACUUUUUUCGACCUAACUAGAUGACUACUUCAAUCAUCAGGUCCAUGCGUAACAAGCAGGCCCAUGUCUUACGCAUGGCACGCGCUCGAUUGGUGUGCCCACAUGUCCCACUCUCCCAUGCCUAGCACCCUCUCCAGUUUAGUUAGUUGAUGAGAUGCACUCUUUCAAGUAAUUAUAUGUAUUGUGCAUGUAAACAGAACCAAGUGAUGAAUACAACCACCAUGAUUCACACUUUGUUGGUAAUCAAAUUAAGCCCCCGAUUCUUCCCCUCUCCACCAAGAACUGCAACUCAUGUGGAGCCACCUGUCACAUUAUAGCCACCACCAGUCCUGCGAUGGCGCCUCCACUAUGGUAUGGGAUUUUUCUCCUCCCCUUCACCUCUUGCCUCCUCCAUGCAUCACAUCAAGAUAGCCAACUACAUCCCAUUCAAGAUCAAUCAUAUCGGCCAACAACUACACAAAAUGGAGGCAACUUGACAUCCACCACAUUCAACUACCUCCACCACGUCGAUAUGGAUAUCGCCAAUGCCAUCCUGGGAUCAGCACUCGAUGCUCAGUGCGGCCCUAAGUAACAUGUUCCCGUAGCCUAAUCCUAAGUACGACAAUUGAUAUUGACUUCUACACCAUCUAAUUUACAAGGGGGCAUAGUAAAAGAAAUUGAGGGGCAAAAUAGAAGGCGAGGUGUUGGGAUACCUAGAUAGUAGGCUAGAACAGUGUUAUUGUAUUUACACUACUCGUGUCCCGGAUUAUGUGGUGUGAAAAAAUUUGCGUUGCUCUGAUGGGGGCAAGUGGGAGAUGGUCUAGGCCUACUAUUAGUUCAGGCAGAGGAGUGGAUUGCCCAUGAUGCCUCUGGGUCGCCUUAUAGAAUGAUCAAGACUUCUUCUUCCACCUCUGUACAUCCAGUAGUUAAGGUUUUGGUUAGUACUACUCUAAACCUGGGUCCCGAUGAUUGUGAGGCAUGUGUGGAGCUCUAGAGAUGUGUGCAUGAAGAACAAAGAACCUUAAGCCGCCAAUAAAUGGAGACGUUUCCCCUCCUUGGAAACACGUUGCCUUCAUUGGUCCUGCCAUUUUGCGAGACAUGAUGAUUGCUCGGUGGCGGGGCACCACUUUGCAUUGCUUGUACGCCCCUUGGCAACAUUGCUGGCCCAUGAGAGGAUGCAGGGGCGCCGAAGUGUGCAGGAUGCAAACAUGAACAAGGAGGCAAUCUCCUCGAGCGAGAUUUGUUGCAUGCGAUUUUUCUGGGGUAACAAGGGAAACAAUUUUCACUCUUGUUCUCCCCUUGGGCAGUGCAACUCGAAGAUACCCCUUAGCAUGGUAACGAUGGAGUGAUACAUGAGUACUCGACAGCAGAAUUUAGCCACAUAAGUGCAAAGGGAUAGAAUUGCGGUGUAUACCACAAGACAGACUUGAUAGAAGCUGGUUAUGGGGUUAUAAUUAGUUACAAAAGAAAAUUUUAUCAGAGUAUUUAAACUAAAUGUAUUCUGCAUCUAGCGGAAGCAAUGAAAAUCACAUGAUGUGUUGUCAUGUAAGAUUGCUUAACUCCUCGUGAGAUUGGUGACACGAGACAGGUGAUCCAUAGAGAUAUUUUACUGACUACAAGCAGAUUGAGGGAUUCAGCAGCUUGAUUUCAUGAGAUGUUAGGGUAAUGAACAUGGGUUAAUACAAAAAACUAAGAGAUGUGGCAUUACCUGGUCAUGUCGAUAUUCGGUGAACCCAAGCAGGGCUAGCCCAUAGGCCAGGCAAAAGGCAUGAUCACCCAGGGCCCCAAGAAGGGAAAGCCCCAACUAUAAAUUAUACUAGCAAACACUAUACAAUUAUACAGUACAUUCAAAAGGUUAUUAAAUUCAUAAAAUAGAGCCUCAAUUUGUAGGAGCACAAGUUCACACCACAUGCCAAUAGUUCAUGAGUACAUAUCUAGUGGAAACCAUACAUUCAGUGAAAACAUGGAAACUUCAUCUUGGGCCGUUGGAUAGAGAAUGUGUGUUGUCGGAUGAAAAACCGUACAAAUUGCAAAUAGAACCCCACAACCAUCCUGUACGGCUGUACCUCGGUAUAGAAUAUUCCCGAUGGAGGCUGAGCCAUCCCGUUCAGCUAAUUGGGCUAGUAGAGACUGAAAAGUCCUGUUAAAACGUGCAUGUGUCCUGUUCAAACGUGAUGUCAAAAGAAAAAAAAAAUCAUGUUCAAACGUGCCUGCAUAUUUGAACGCACAAGAUUUGUCUUUUGAUGAUUCUUUUUGCUGCCUCUGACUCAAACAUGCCUACAUAUUUGGACGGCCAAGAUUUUAAUAGAACUGCAACUGUUCUGUUUGCAAUAUCAUGUAUUCAUUCCUGUGCAUACUUUUCUUUAUUGGGCAGAGUACUGUUGGACAUGCUUCUAAUUCUGCUAGCAUUGAGGGGCUAUGUGCAAACAAUCAACGCUGCCAGCGGGUGUUUUAUCGCAAAUAGCACGUAGCAGUUAUGUACGGAUCUAGUCCAUACAUACUGGAUCCAACGGCCUGCACUUAGGCUUCCAAGCUUCCACUGAAGAUGUGGUUUUCACUUGAUAUUGUCUCAUAGUUCAUAUCACGUGAAGGCAAACCAUUCCGACCAGCGAAGUUGAGUUUAAGUACACUAGUUUCUCUUUACGAUGGAUGUUUUAGUAUCGUAAUGAAAUUUAUGAUGACAAGAUUUCAAUUUUUAAAUCAAUGCACAACUUUUCAUUUGAGAAACUGGUAAGAGAUCUCAUUUGCGCCAAAUCAAACCAAGUGAAUUUAGACGAGCAUGUCAGACAAUCGAAUCAUACGAAAAAAAUACAAUCAAUGACAUUUUUGGUCGUUGAUGAUUCUAUUACCGAACUCAACUUGCAAGUCACAUUUGCUAUGCCCUAGAAGUUUCUUUGAAUUUGGUUGCCUAAUACUUCCUCCGUUCUUUUAUACAAGGUGUAUUUGUUUUUUUCAAAAGUAAAACGAGUGCAUGUUUGACUGAGUAUACACUAGAAACCACUAUUAAAAUCUUGUUAGUAUGUUUAUGAUUUACAAAUCUCUACCAUGAUAUUCAAUAAUAUUAAAAGAUAUAUGAAUACAUAAAUAUUUGUUACUGUGUUUAUGAUUUACAAAUCUCUACCAUGAUAUUCAAUAAUAUUAAAAGAUAUAUGAAUACAUGCAUAUAUAUAUAUAUACAAAUAUAUGUGUAUACAAUAUACCUUUUAUGCAAUAUUAUAAAAUUAAUUUGAGUGAUUUUUUAUAUCAAAAAAGAGAAUAUUUGAUACAUCAUAUAAUUUAAAUUUUACAGAAUCAAAAUUUUAAACGAUAUAGACUACAAAUUAAAUACAAUGAAUAAUAUAAUUAUUACUUGCAAACAUUGUUAUGUGGCUAAUUAAUAAAGAAUUUUAUUAAAUAAAAUUACAAUAUGGUUCACUUAGUUUAAAGUAAGUAUAAAAGUUCAGUAUGAAAAACAGUUGUAUCGCAUCCCCUCGGCCAGAAAAUGGUUUGGUCAUGCAUUCUUCCAGACUUUACCCUUGCCGUCUUGUUUCACCCCUAUUCAAGAAGUCCAUACAUAUCGACAAGUGAAUAUAAUAGAGAGAGAGACAGAGAAAAAAAAUUGCGUUGUUCUAUACGAAACUUGAAGAUUACUUAUGUUUUCUCUUGCUUAAUAUUACCAAACCUCUUACGAUAAAUUCAAGAUGAGCAUUUUCUAGGUAUGGUGUCCUCCUAUGUGCCACCACUUCAAACAAAAAGUAUGAAACAAAAUUAAAUAUAAGUCAAAUUGCGAACAACUAUUUCAGCAUAAUGAGUGUGCAGACAACUGUUUCAUUAGAAUAAGUGAUCCACAAAUGAUGCAGGUUGAAACAAUAUAGACUAGCAUCAAACAAACUCUAGGAUGAGAGAGAAGCCUUAAGAUCUUGCCUUCGGAUCUGAGGUAGAAGGUGUACCCAAUUGUUUUUUUAGGGUAUCCUAUGAAGAUGCACUUCUCCGAUUUGGGUUCGAGCUUAUCAUGCUGAAGCCUUCUUCUUCCUCCUCUUCUUCUUCCUAUUCUUCUUCUUCUUCUUCUUCUUCUUCUUCUUGUGCUGCAUCAUCACUUCCUCUUUGGGGAAACACCGACGUAGUUCAAUCGAACAUCACAUGUCCUUGUGUGUCCUUCACAAUGCCGAAACACAAGCAAGUGCGAUGUAGAAUUGUCGUGGUAGAAGGUGGUUCACUCUCAAGAGCUCGGAUUGUCAACUCACGUGACGUGGAAGUUGACACGAAGUCCAAGUUUCCUACACAUGCACACAACAAAACAAAGAACAUAUGCGCAUGAUAGAUAAACACAUCAUCCAUCAUGAUGGUUCUCUUCUCUUGCACAUAACUAUUAGAAGCACAAGUGCAUGGCCGGCCAAAAUUCCACGCCAUGAUGUUAUACGCACGUGUGGCAAUGUCUGCAGACUUGAAGGUUCCUAGCCAGUAGUGACGACCAUCACACUGAAACUCGACACAAAAGUGGCUGGAGGGGCGGAGGCGCACAUCCCUAAAGCCCAUCUUGCCAUUUGACGGCAUGACGGCGGCACUGCGACAUCGACACGGGCGACAGUGUAGACUGGAGACGGCGCGAGGGAGUGCAACAGGGUAAUUGGGCGGUGUGGCUNNNNNNNNNNNNNNNNNNNNNNNNNNNNNNNNNNNNNNNNNNNNNNNNNNNNNNNNNNNNNNNNNNNNNNNNNNNNNNNNNNNNNNNNNNNNNNNNNNNNNNNNNNNNNNNNNNNNNNNNNNNNNNNNNNNNNNNNNNNNNNNNNNNNNNNNNNNNNNNNNNNNNNNNNNNNNNNNNNNNNNNNNNNNNNNNNNNNNNNNNNNNNNNNNNNNNNNNNNNNNNNNNNNNNNNNNNNNNNNNNNNNNNNNNNNNNNNNNNNNNNNNNNNNNNNNNNNNNNNNNNNNNNNNNNNNNNNNNNNNNNNNNNNNNNNNNNNNNNNNNNNNNNNNNNNNNNNNNNNNNNNNNNNNNNNNNNNNNNNNNNNNNNNNNNNNNNNNNNNNNNNNNNNNNNNNNNNNNNNNNNNNNNNNNNNNNNNNNNNNNNNNNNNNNNNNNNNNNNNNNNNNNNNNNNNNNNNNNNNNNNNNAUAGUCACGAGAAGUGGCAUGACAGUCACGCGGUGGUUGGGGGGAAUGGAAGUUCACGCGGCGGUUGGGCUUGGCGCGGCCCCUUUUGGAUUUGCUUGAGCCGCACAGGUAAUGUAAAUUUGCAUCACUUGGUGCCCUAUUGUACAACACAGUCAAUCCCCCAAGUAACACUUUUUGCAUCAGUUUUUUUUAGGUGACUGUUUGCAUCAAUUGGAGUUAUGUGUUUUCCCCAUGAUGUAAACAUUUGUUAUUUUUAAAUUUAUAUCAUGUACUGGAGAUGCUCUAAAGGCUAAGUCUGAACCUUUUUGUGUGCUGUGGCCGGCCAUGGCCCAUGGACCCAUCCAUAGCAAGUUACGUGUGACAGUCCAAAAUUAAGAAAGAUUGGGAACUUCAUAGGGUUUCCUCCCUUUAUAAGCCACCGAACCCUCAAAGCCUUGGCCGCUCCGCCGCCGCAGGCCCGCAGCCUCCCAACGGAAUCAACUGAUGGCAUCUUCGACUAGGGAUCAAGAGCCAACUACGACGCCUUUGAAAGGAAAAGGAAUCAGAUGUAAUCAACGAGGCGACGAGCAAGGAGGCACCAGGACGCCUCACGUUUACCUUGUCUUCGACGACUAUCCGUUAGGAUACAGCAUCCGCGAGGUGAUACCGCCGCGUUCCGGCUCCAGCCACCAUUGCCAUACCGCUGCUGCCUCAGACCCAGACACAGUGCGUGUGGAGCCGCCGCCUCCGGUGGUCGUGCGCUUGGAGGCAGUGCGUGGGUCGCCGUCUUACUUCCCGAUAGCCUUCGGCACCAAGAUCAUGGCGGUGCACACCAGGGACCCCGACGGCCGCAUAUCGUCUCGUCCCGGGGACUCCAUGCUUAUGCUCAUGUUCGACGUCUGCGAGCGGAGCCUCACCUUUUGCGCCGGCCUGGAUUUUCUGGUCGAUCCCAUCUAUUUCUCCGUCGGCGACAAGCUCUUCUGUCUGAGCCAAGGCUUCUUCCAGAUGCUCAUCUGGGAGCAUGGCCAGGGAGCCUGGCAGCAUGGCCAGGGAGAGCUCGUGGAAAGAGCUCCCGGAUCUUCAUCGUCAGCACCAGGGAGGGCGCCACCGAGGCCACCUUUGCCUUCGACACCGAGAAGCUUUCAUGGAAGCCCCUCGGCGGUUGGGCGCUGCCCUUCGCCGGCCGUGGCCACUUCGACCAGGACCUCGGUCUCUUUAUCGGGCUCUCCAAAGAAGCCGGCUCGUCCCUAGGCCAGCUCUGCUCCUGCUACCCGGACACCCCCUCACGACGACGCUUGCCAAGGAGAAUCUCUUCAGCGAGGACCCGGCCGAGAGGCAUGAAGGCGCCACCCUCGUCCACGUUGGACCCAGCAAAUUCUGCCUGGUGCAGUGCGUCUCCAGGGAGCUGCCCCUCCUUGAACGGAGACAGUUCUUGUAUCGUUUGACUACACUGUCUCUCGAAUAUCACCACACUGGAGGCCUGACGAUUCGCGAGAGGCAGCGGGUGCAAUACUACCAAGUACCUCAAGGAACCUCUCAGCCAUUCCUCGCUCAAGAUCCUGUGGCAUUUGGGAUCUGAAAUGCUAAAAAUCAUGUCAGGAAAAGGUGUUCAUGCAAUAAAUUAAGUAGAUCUCUCUUACCUCCCCAUAUUAAUUAAUUAGUUCAUUAGUAGCUAUGUUACACUAUAUGUAUGCAUAGGGUCGGGCCCCGGCCUCACAAUCUCGAUCAAGCUACACACGUCUAGUUCGGAUAGUCACUUGUUUGGUGAGUUCCAUCGCUCUUGAAUGUAAUGAAACAUAAUUCUCAUGGAAAUGUUUUUCUUCUAUUCGAGCAACAAUGUACUAUACAUAGUUUGGUGUAAUGCAUUUUUUCAAGUUUAUAUGCAUGAGUCGCCAAUGUGUCGACAAAAUGUUGAAAAUUCAGCAUUUUGACAAAUCCCUGGCAAACUCGACUGUGUCAUUUUUUAAGCAAAGGUCAUGCCAAAAAAAUAUAAUUCAUAUGCAAUAAUUUAUGUUGGUUUUAACUUUCUUCCUUACAUAAUGCAUGUUAGAGACCGGGGAUAUAAUGGAUCCAAGAAUUAAAGGGUUCUUAACGUUGGCCUUGGAACACAUGAAGCAAAGGGGUCGUAAAGAGUUAUGUUGUCCAUGUCAUAAAUGUGACAACAUGAGUAUAUUUACGAGCAGUUCUGGCUAAUGCAUGGUUUCAUGAAGAAUUACACAGGGUGGACACGCCACGGAGAGGAUAAGAGGGAAAUGAGCAAGAAUGGAUGGACCACGAUCAUGCCGGACAUGAUGAAGAGGCCGGACAUGAUGAAGAGGUUGGACAUGACGAGUGAUUUUUUUAAAGGAGGUCAUCCCCCGGCCUCGAGUAGAUGCAUGCGGCCACUUUAUUAGAGCAAGUUCAACAAAACAAAUAGUCUGGUCUGCAAAGUACAGCUCACAGAAGGAGUAAAAUAAAAAAAAACUCAAAGCCACAACCUACCCUAUUAUGCGACUGCCAUCCAAACAGGUUGAAGAUAACCCGUACUACCAUCUCCCACCGAUUGCACCCAGUAGCCAAAUGCUCCCUGGAGCCCGUAGGAUAGCGACCACGUACGGAUCCAUGUCGUAGCCCUGAAAAUAACCUGCAAGAAGUUAAUCAUAUAAAGUUUGUUAAAAAUCAUAUCGUUCCUGAAUUUUCAUAUAGCCCAAAGAAGUGCGCAUAUUCUAAUCCGAAUACUGAACGCAAUCUCUGGAUUCACUCCAUUUAGCCACGUCCCGAACAACACAUCAAUACUAAUUGGAGGAAUAAUAUUAAAAGCUAUAUGAUCGGACCGCCAAAGUAACUUUGCGAGAGGACAAUCAAGAAAUAAGUGUUGAAUUGUUUCAUCGUGAACGCAAAAGCAACAUCGUGAACUGCCAACCCAUCGUUGCUUUAAUAAGUUAUCCUUGGUAAGGAUCACUUGCUUGUGCACAAACCACAUAAAAAAUUUAAUUCGCAAGGGAACCUUGACUUUCCAAAUGUGUAUCGAUCUUGGGAUUGGGCCAGAAUUAAUGAGGUCUAAGUACAUUGAUUUGACCGUGAACACUCCAUUACCCGUUAGCUUCCAGUUCAAGGUGUCUCGCUGAUCUGAGAGUUGAACAUCCAUCAACCUCCUCACUAAGUGUAACCAGGAACUACAUCGUUCCCCUACUAGAGACCUCCUGAAUUGGAUAUUUAAAGGUAUUGUCUGCAAAACCGUUGCUACAUAAUACUCCUUACGUUGAGCAAUAUGAUACAGGGAAGGAUAUUGGAGAGCUAGCGGUGUAUUACCUAACCAUGUAUCCUCCCAAAACCUUGUUGUUGUUCCAUCCCCAACAAUGAAUUUCACCCUAUGGAAGAAGGUUUCCUUCACUCUCAUUAGUCCCUUCCAAAAUGGUGAAUCAUUAGGUCUUACGAUACCCUGAGCGAGGGUUUUAGAGUGCAAGUAUUUAUUUCUCAGUAUUUGUGCCCACAUACCCUCUGAUUCCUGUGAUAGCCUAUAUAGCCACUUGCUCAACAGGCAUUUAUUUUUAAUCUCAAGGUUCUCGAUCCCAAGAUCCCCCUGGUCUUUUGGUCAACAAAUAAUAUCCCAUCUUGUCAGGCGAUACUUUGUCUUAACCUCGUUUGACUGCCAGAAAAAACGAGAUCAGUAGAAGUCUAGUCUCCUUCGUACCCCUUUAGGCACCUCAAAGAAAGAUAGAAGGAAUAUUGGCAUACUCGUGAGUGCCGAAUUUAUCAAUACUAGCCGUCCUCCAUAUGACAUAAGCUUACCCUUCCAGCAGCUUAGUUUCUUCUUGAAUCAAUCCUCGAUACAUUUCCACUCCUUAUUAGUUAAUUUCCAAAGAUGGAUAGGAAUGCCUAGAUAGUUGAACGGUAAUGACCCCAGUUCACAAUCGAACAAUUGCCUAUAGUUGUCUUGGUCAUCUUUGGCCUUACCAAAGAAGAACAAUUCACUCUUGUGGAAGUUUAUCUUUAGACCAGACAGUUGUUCAAACAGGCACAACACUAGUUUCAUAUUCCUCACCUUUGCAAGAUCGUGCUCCAUGAAGAUAAUAGUGUCAUCCGCAUAUUGUAGGAUAGAGACACCCACAUCCACCAAAUGGGGAACUAGACCACCUACCAAGCAUUUCUCCUUGGCCCGACCUAUGAGAACUGUCAACAUGUCUGCCACAAUGUUAAACAGAAUUGGAGACAUCGGGUCUCCUUGUCUCGGGCCUUUAAGCGUUUGAAAAUAAUGACCAAUGUCAUCAUUCACCUUUAUCCCAACGCUACCUUUCUGGACAAAAGAAUCCACCUGAUUCCUCCAUGCCCCCAUUAAAGCCCUUCAUGUGCAUGGCUUGCUGUAGAAAUAGCCAUUUAACCUUGUCAUAUGCCUUCUCAAAAUCUACUUUGAAGAUCACCCCAUCGAGUUUCUUUGAAUGGAUUUCAUGUAAAGUUUCGUGUAAGACAACAACCCCUUCUAGGAUGUGUCUUCCAGGCAUAAAGGCAGUAUGACUUGGUUGCACUACCGAAUGGGCAAUCCGUGUCGAUCUAUUGGUGGCCACUUUCGUAAAGAUCUUAAAACUCACAUUCAAGAGACGAAUGGGCCUGAAUUGCUCAAUGCGAAUUGCUUACUCUUUCUUUGGCAACAGCAUUAUCGUGCCAAAAUUUAGAUGAAAGAGUUGCAGAUGCCCAUUAAAGAAUUCAUGAAACAUAGGCAUAAGAUCAUCUUUCACAAUAUGCCAACAUUUCUUAUAGAAUUCUGCCAGAAACUCAUCUGGUCCUAGAGCUUUAUUCGGUUUCAUUUGAGCGAUCGCCUCAAAAACCACCUUCUCCAUAAAAGGUGCAGAUAAAAUCUCAUUCUCAUCUGAUGAGUGUUAUUUUUACACUCCUCUAACCUGAGUUUAAACCAAAAUAUUUCAUAAAACCGAAAUAUUCGCUCGGAUAUUGCUACUAAUGACUAAUAAAUGUUGAGGUUUCAAAAUAUCCAAUCUUUAUUUUGUUUCCACGCGAAAUAGGGUAUUUAUGGACAAAAUCAAGCCAAUACAUGGAAAUGGGUAAAGUGGAGAUAGCGGAGAUCAAGUGGGAGGCUAAUACGUCUCUAACAUAUCUAUAAUUUACCCUAAAAACAUAUCUAUAUUUUUUAUUGUUUCAUUCUAUAUAUUAUCUUGUUUGCUUUAUAUGUCAUUUUUUGUGAACAAACCUAUUAACUUAGUGACCAAUGCCAGUUUCUGCUAUUUGCCUAUUUCUUUGUUUCGUAGAAAAACCAUACCAAACGAAGUCCAAACAUGAUGAGACUUUAUAGUGAUCUUUUCUGAACCAGAAGAGACCCAACUUCGGGGAAAAGCCAGAAGACACAUGAGGGAGCGGCAAGCUCGAGCACAUCCAUGGACGGAGUGCGCGAGAUCAACACAUGGCUUAUCUCCCAACGGAGAGAAGGGUCUCCUCGGCGCCACACCUCCCGCGAGAAUGACCUAUCCAACAAGCUAAGGCUUGGUUGGACGGCGGCGUUGAUCGACGCCACCAUCGUUGUCAGCGCUCACGGUGGUGGGGGUAACACUGCCACCGCCCAUGGAAUCUAGGGCUAGGCAUUUCGUUGCAGGAGAGAAAUAGGGAAUUCUACCCAUAACAACGCAAUGACGGGCAGCUCUAUCUCACCCGUGCCUGACUAGGGAGGCCCACCCGCAGGUCAAAACCACUGUUGACUAGUGCCACAUCAGCAGCAAGUCGAUACAAACCACCCAGGGUGUUUUUUGUCUAUUAUGGGCCUGUUUAGGGGGUGAAGGGAGCAGAACAAUAGAUUAGGGGUAAUGUGAACCAUCAACUUUAUUCACGGUAAUAAAAUGGACCUUUUUCUAUUAUAUAUAGGAGGGUAUAAUGAAUUUCUUAUCUGAUAUUUUAUAUGCCUACUAGUAGAACGCUCGUGCGUUGCUAUGGGCUAUAAUACAUAAAUAAAUAAACAAACAAAUUAAUUGUACAUGUUGCGAGCGCAUUGUGACAGUUAUCCAUGUUGGCAACCGGUGCUCGCCAUGUCACUAAGAGCCCAUUGACCGUUCUUGCCCACGAGCGCUUUCAAAAUGAUUUGAUGCGAUUAACUACCUGCUUAAUUAAUUAAUUAAUGACCUCCUAAUUCUCUCCAUGCCUAAUUAACUGUCAACCAAAUUAGUUAAUUUCUAUAAGACCUACCAAGUAUUGUAGGACAUAUUUCAUUAACAAAUUUCAUGACUUUUGAAUGGGCAUACUUUAUUUCAGAAUGUAGCCUACCUGUCUCUCUAUAUGGCUAACAAGAAAUAUAAUAUAACCGUGUUCACGAACAUCUGUACAAGGCGGUCCGACGGCACGUUUUCCACCACGGCCAUCCUUGAUAUCGUGCUCCAUGCCCUGGCAUUCUUAAGCAUCACAUCAACGACAGGCCCGACCACAACAUUUUUCAUGGUGUCGCGCACGGCGUCCCUCCUCAGGGGCGCGUGGAUGCGUACAAAGAAAAAGGAUAAUGUAUGUUAUUUUUGUUGCAUUAGGAAACUUGCGGUUGUUAAUUAAUACUCCUUCCAUUCCUAAAUAUAUGUCUUUUAAGAUAUUUUAAUAUAGACUACAUAUAGAUGUAUAUAGACAAAUUUUAGAAUGUAGAUUCGCUCAUUUUGCUCCAAAUGUACUACAUAUUUGAAUCCCUAAAAAGACUUAUAUUUAGGAACAGAGUGAGUAUUGCCAAUAGUACCACCUGACACUAGGCAAUAAAUAUUGGAGAAUUACAAUUCGGAAAUAAAAACAUAGUAUGAGAUAACUCCGCAAUUACCUGCUUCCAUUCGUAUUUAUUUUGCCACCAAAUUUUGUAAACUUGGUCACUCGGCGAUCCAUAAUUCCUAUCGGAUGCUCAGACCAUGACGCCUAACCGUCUGGAGGGUACACAGUCCUCAAAGGUAACAAGCGUCGGUUCCACACAGGAACAAUCUCUUCAGUGAUGCUCAAUCACUUUGGGUUUGUAGGUGUUUGGGUUUGGGAUUUGGGUUUUCCUUACUUGAUGAUUUUCGCUCAAAGUCCUCGGAGGAUGGGAUGCUCUCAAUGACAAGUGUCGGUUUUUCGCGGAGCAGCCAAGCUAGCUAGUGGUUGUAGGGGGCGGCUAUUUAUAGCCUAGGGAGCAGCCCGACAUGAUAAAACAUAAAUGUCCUUUAAUGAUAUGACCGUUAGGUGGAAGAUAUUUUUUGACAGCUGGUGUGUAGCACAGCAACGGUCGGAUAUGUGAGGUUCUAAUUCCUGAGGGCUAUCAUGUUCCUCACUGUGUAGGCAAUCCACACUGGCGAAUUCCUAACUCCUCAGUCAGAACAAAUUCCUCAGAGGCCAGAAGAUUUUCAUCUCUGUCACUAAAGAAAUUGACUGAACUGAUAUGAGAUUUCCAAUGGCUUCACUCGAAAGGAUUGAGUAGGUGUAGGAUUUUGAGAUGAGCAUCACUUGGAAAUCAGUUUCCUUAGUAUUACCUCGACCCCCUUUAACAGUAUGAUGUUUCCUAUGACUCAAGAAAGAGAAAAUGAAACUACGAAAACAAAAGUCUUCACGCUUCAUAAUCCUCGCAUGAAUAUCCAAGUCUUCACGGUCACAUCAAUUUCUUCACUUUCAAAAUCUUCAGGAGGACCAAAGUCUUCAGCUGAAGACAUACAUUUUUAGGGGUCGAUUUUCAUCAUAAAUAUCAAACUCCUCAUCGACUUAUAGAGGCUGUGUACACUCACAAAUAUAUUAGUCCCUUAACCUAUAAAUCUUCAAUACACCAAAAUCACUAAGGGGCACUAGAUGCACUUACAGUCUCCAUGAUCAAACUCAUUUCUUCCUCAUAAGUCCCGCCAUAUACGGACACCAAAUGUGCACCCAGUAGGAUCCUCAAAAUUAAACAUUCUAGACAAUCUGGGCUCCCCCAAAUACAAACCAUAUGUGGGGGAGAAAUAUGGAUGUUCGGACUAUCCACUAUGUUAUCUCAAACACGCGGGUCCAACACAAAACCCCACCUCACAACGAACACUUUCCUUUUCCUAUCGGAGCCUCCCCUUCCUACUCGGUUUCCCUCUGUAGCAGGACAUUUCUUGCUUGUUCUCUCUCCUUCUUAUUCUUAGAAGACUCUCCCUUUCUACUAUAGCAUGAACCACCUGGCCAAUAUAGUGUCGUGUUGUCCUCGCCCGCCGAACGGCGACCGUCAGCACGUGGACAUCCUGUAGAGCAUGGUCGCUAUCCAUCUUGGUGAACGCUUCGUCGCCCAUGUCGCGAGCGCAUUGUGACCGUUGUCCAUGUUGGCAAGCGGUGCUCGACCAUGUCACUAAGAGCCCGUUGAUCGUCCUUGCCCACGAGCGCUUUCAAAAUGUUAACUACAUGCUUAAUUCAUUAAUUAAUGACCUACCUAAUUCUAUCCAUGCCUAAUUAACUGUCAACCAAAUUAGUUAAUUUCUACAAGACCUACCAAGUAUUGUAGGACACAUUUUAUUAACGAAUUUCAUGACUUUUGAAUGGUCAUACUUUAUUUCAGAAUGUAGCCUACAUGUCUCUCUGUAUGACUGAGAAGAAAUAUAAUAUAACCGCGUUCGCGAACGUCUGUACACGGCGGUCCGACGACCCGUCUUCCACCACGGCCGUCCUUGAUGUCGUGCUCCACGCCCUGGCAUUCUUAAGCAUCACAUCAACGACAGGCCCUACCAUGACGUUUUUCAUGGUGUCGCGCACGGCAUCCCUCCUCAGGGGCGCGUGGAUGCAUACACCAUAAGAAAAAAAGAUAAUGUAUGUUAUUGUUGUUGCAUCAGGAAACUUGCAAUUGUCAAUUAAUACUCCAUCCAUUCCUAAAUGUAAGUCUUUUAAGAUAUUUCAAUAUAGACUACAUACAAAUGUAUAUAGAUAAAUUUUAGAAUGUAGAUUCGCUCAUUUUAUUCCAUAUGUACUACAUAUUUGAAUCUUUAAAAAGACUUAUAUUUAGGAACAUAGUGAGUAUUGCCAAUAGUACCACCUCAUACUAGGCAAUAAAUAUUGGAGAAUUACAAUUCGAAAAAAAAACAUAGUAGGAUAUAACUCCGCAAUUACCUGCUUCCAUUCGUAUUUAUUUUGCCACCAAAUUUGUAAACUUUUCUAAAAAGGAGAAAAAUAACCUUUGACUUAUGCGCAUUGAGCUGUCCUUUAAUGAGGGUUCAUAUUAUGGAAAGGUAAUAAAUAAUUUCGAUUAUAUUGCUCGAUGCUUACUGCCCAGCCGGGAUCUCUCUUCUCUCCACCUCUCUCUCUCUCUCUACAUAUACGGGUCAUGUUAUGUGCUGUUUGCUAGCAAGUAUAUUUCUCAUCGACAACCAAAGAGAUCGACAGCCGGGUGUGCUAUGGACAAGCACACGAUUCGCAUCCUUGCACUAGCUCUACUGUCUCUACAUCUCGUAUGCUCUGCUACCGUUGCUCAAUGUAAGCACACCAAUCGGGUUCAAUUUUUCACUCAUCGAAGUAUGUACGUAUGUAGUACUAUACCCAGUGAAUGUCGCCUUUUUUCUUCUUUUUUUGGUCUAAAUAAUCUGUUGCGCAUUUAUUUAUUCCGCUCUAAAAUAUAUUAUUGCAUAAUAAUUGUUCGUUUGUCAUUCCAUAGGUCGAACCAUGGCUGACACGGAUAGCGAGAAGAUCAAUUUACCAAACGGGCUAUGCCAUAAGGUAGCUCCGUAUCGAUGCGUCAACGAGUGCUUCUGUUGCUUGGUAGAUGACUGGUGCUACUCGACAAUGGAUGAGUGCGCGAUAAAGUGUAAAUGAUCCUCGUCUUUUUCAGAAGACAUACUAGCUAGUGGCGAUGGCAUCCCCUCCAUUACCUGCUCCUUAAUUUCGCAGCCUAGUCAAAUUGGCUUACAUGCAUAUUUACUUGUCCCGAGAAACAAAUAAUGCCUGAUAUAGUAUUUGGUUUGCAAUAAGAUUGAGUAAUACUCUAGCAAUUGUCGCCGAGUAUUUGGUUCGGCAAAAGAAUGGAAUUCCAAUAGAAUCUCUUUGUAAUUUGACGAGAAAAGUGCCAAAUAGAAUGCCUGAUAUAUACUUGGUUUGCAAUAAGAUCAAGUAAUACUCUAGCAAUUGUCGCUGAGUAUUUGGUUCGGCAAAAGAAGGGAAUUCCAAUAGAAUCUCUUUGUAAUUUGACGAGAAAAGUGCCAAAAGUAUGAAUUUGUACCAAGUGUAGUUUGCCCCACUAACAAUAGUGUCUACGGCUCUACGCCAACCCUUGUCUCUAGGACGACAUUGUCGUAGGGGCGGCGCCGUCAUCAAACCCAUUAACAUGCAUGGAAGGUGCGUUUGCUCGCAUGGUCCACGUGGCAAUCUCAUAUCUAAAAUAUGAGCCUCGAACUUUCAGUGAACUUCGAUUCAUCAACAUCUUCUCAUAUAGUAUUUGCUAGUGUUUGCCCAUCACGAUGGAUCAUGGGGCAACCUUCCACACCACACUGCAAAACAACUAAAACUCUCCUCUACCGGUUAAACUUCUCCCACAUGAGGAGCUUAUUAGCAUCGUUUGCACGGACGAUGUACAUCGAUAGGAAAAAUUAUUUAUGUCCAAUGCUAUCUUCAUAGCGAAUCAAAACUGGUUCACUGGGGUAAUUAAUUGCCCCGGACGGUGACCUGCCAUUGUUGACAAAAAAACACUAACUACUUACGUAGUACUCCCUUCGUUCGGAAAUACUUGUCGGAGAAAUGGACAAGUAUUUUCGGACGGAGGGAGUACUACGACGGGGCAAACUCAGCCAUGACCUACCUAUCUUUUUGUGUGGUGUCCGGGCAUGGAUCCACACAUCGCUAGCUGAAACACACAAACUAACCCAGGAAAAAAAAACGUGCGUGAAUCUUAAAGUGACAAUCAAAGGCCAAAAAAUCGACUGGACUAAGAUUUAUUUUCAGGCAACUUGCAUGUAGCUAAAGUGAGAAAGAAAAUAGUCUUAGCACCAAGUCUUUUUAUUUCAAGAAGAAAACCUUCGGAUAUCACGGCUUCAGGAAAUACCACCAAAUCAUCUCCCCGUCGCAUCAAAGUAGGGAUAGUAGCUGCCUUUUCCAGGGCAAAAAAACAAGUUAGGCUAUCCGAGAUUUGCUCUUUUUUCCAGCUCUUUGGAGUGAAAAUAAGGAGGAACUUGUGAUUGGUUUUCUACAGGGAAGAGAGAUACCAAGCCGGGCAACUUCCCCUACUAACUACUGAACACAAAAGCCAAGGUGACCCAAAACAAUUAUUUCACUUAUUUCUAGUUUAAGAAGGACCUUGUGCGCGGUUCACGACUCCCGGUGCUUAGAGAUGCGGUUCACUACAACAGUGGUAAGAAAAGCAAGAAAACAGGUAUCAAGAGAUGGAAGUGAAAGAAGAACUGUUGAUCGACCGGUGGUUUGGGUCUUGCCUUUUAGGAUUCGGAUUCCUAUUGAAUUGACUUUGCAUACCCUUCCUCGUUUUCGUCCAUCUCCACUAUUCAAAGCGCUACUGCACAUAAGUCUACAAUGUUGAAAGUCGAAAUAAAGAAGCAGAAACGUCAAAACACUGGCAAGCCAAAGCCAACCAACCACGGGCUAAUCGGUAAAUUGUCCACACCAUCUUAAUACCAUGUUUGCAUCUCACUACAAUGAAACAUAGCGCCAAAGGGGAUUUUCCAAGGGCAUGGUGACCCACAAAUUUCCAACCGUCCGCGGACACGGAUGGGCGACUCGCGAGUACGCCAUGUUGCCAUCCAAUCGAAACCGCAUUCAUUUUGACAACAACUCAAAUCAGCCAGAUGAAAUUCAUGCAAACAAGGCCGGAUUUCAUAUAAACAUGACGGAUUUCAUAUGAAAAUGCCGGUUUUUCAUAUAAACACGACGGAUUUUAUUACAUUUACAUCAAUUAAGCGGUGCUAGUCCGGCUCUGGAGGUAUAACUAAUAUCUAAUUUAUGGACGCCCGCGGAUCCUUUUGUCUUUCUCAUGUCCGGCAGCCCGAUCACCAGACUGUUGGGAGCCCCAGAGAUAUAUGCUUCAGCGCAAAGGACGGCUCGCUUUCCCACCGCUCAUCAGAGUGGAACCCCUCGGUUGAUGCUUCAGCGGGAGGGGAAGGGGGCGCCUCCUCUUUCGUGGAGCCCAUGCGGGGUUGAAGAUGGUCCUCGCAAAAGAAGAACCGGGCAAGACACCGGUUGUGUAUGCCGACGUCGCCUCGGUGGUGGCCUUCAUGGGCCCCAGCGGCGGCGGCCUCCCAUGCUCUACUUCUCCUCGAUGAUGGUGGCCGACGCAGAGGCAUGGGCCACCGACUCAUCGCUCUCCGCGCACCCGACUUCUGUCUCUGCAUGCAUGGCUCGACUGCAUGCAGGGGAGGCACGGCCACAGAUAGGGCACGGGGGGCGUGGUAUGAUGUGACAUCAUCGACGGCAGCGACGACGCCUGUGCCAGCGUGGAGCAACUCACCACUCCUCAUCGAGCUAGCCUAGAGCUACGAGUUGUUGAGCCACGCGUCGGCUUGGGGCGGCAACUAGCUCCAACUAGCUGCCUCGCUUGUAUCCGGCGGAGGCAGUGAGAGGUUGUGUCUUCUUUGAGCCGCCUUCAAUGUGGGGCGGCGCGCUCUACAACGCCAUAAAUGCGGGCAACUGGCGCCGAGAGGGAAGCGUGCGAGAGGAGGGUUUGGUGGGUCAGGGCGGUCAAAAGCGGGUUUGUGAUCGGUCCGAACUCCCGCAAACCUCUUCAUGUUUGUCUACGGUUUGCGGACCGAUACAUAAUCAUGUUGGAUGGCUUUCAUGGUCCGGACAGUGCGGUGCAAACAGUUGCCGGAGGUUUGAGGGUCCGCGUUGAAGAUGCGCUAACAACUCUAAUCAUCGCACCAAAGAGGAUUGAACCUAAUUGAUUCUAUUGUUCCAAAUGUGUUGGGAACAAUAACACAUUUUAUUAGUACCUUUGCUUAGCGAGCCAAAAGUCCACCGGGAAAAGACGGUUCUACCCCCGGGGGCCCAAAAUAUCAAAAGGGGGAGAGAUUUCCCUGGCCGGUGGCACCACACGCGAAGCCUGACCAUUUCCAUUUCUGCCCCCGGUUCUUCCCCCCUCGCGCCCACCACGACGGCGGGCCGACGUCGUUCCCCUCCGCCGCCGCCGGCGCGCUGACCGCCCGCCGUGUCCCCGGCCGUCCUCCUCCCCGACGCCCUCGCCUCGCUCCUCCGGUUCGCCCACCAACCUACCAACCCGGGCCCCGAUCCGCGCGGAGGGAGGGGGGGAGGAGAUGGCGGUGGUGCUCGCGUGGCUCAACGCCAGGGUCGUCGACCCCCUGCUGCAGGUGAUCCAGAGGUGAGGCCCCCAGGCGCCCGGCUCUAGUUUCUGUUUCGUCGGCAUCUGGUCGCCGGUCUUCAUCGCUUCUGCUUUGGUGGUUGGCCGGUGCAGGGGCGCGGAGCCGAAGCAGCUCGCCUUCUCCGCCGCGCUCGGCGUCACCAUCGGGGUCUUCCCCAUCUGCGGUACGUACGUGUUUGCUCCUGGAUUUUCCCUUCUUCCCAUCGACCAAGCCGGACGUAUUAUUCAGUUUACCAACCGGGUUCAGAUUCGAUGGUUCAUUACGCGUGGCGUGUCGGCGCAGCAAUAUAGGAUCCGAUGUGUGCGUGUGCGGCCAUGGUUGACGAGAACACGGCUCAGCUCCUGGGAAACACAGGGAUGCACGGCACCAUGCUAUGAGCCGUUCAUUUACAUCUCGGGGACUCCAGGCGAUGUCUCUCCAUUCAGAUGUAUUCAGUGUUUUGCCUGCUGUGGUCUCAUAACUGAAUCGUGCGCGUCAUGUCUCCCUACCUUGUUGUCGUCAACAUGGUUGGGUUUAAGAUUUUACAGAGCUGAAUUGUCACAAAAAAACACCUGACAAAUUACAGCUAGUGGCUUAGGCAAACCCUCUUCCAAGUUGUUGAGGUUCAGUACUAGUCUGAUGGCACUGGUGUGCCAUACGACGUGUAGUUAUUGUACGCGUUUUGGUUGUAUUGCUAGUCUUUUCAUGAUAUUUCUCAAAGCAACUUGAUGUAACCUGACCCUUCAUUAUUGCAGGGACCACUGUUAUUAUCGGUGGACUUGCUGUGGCCAUGUUAGGAGCUCGUUGCAAUGCCGUUACUGUCAUGGUUCUCAAUUUAGCUGCCACUCCUCUUGAGCUAAGGUAAACACGCACUCAGCAUUAAAUACAGUAAAUCAAAUUCCAUUUUAUGAAUUAUUUAUAAGAAUAGUUGCUGGUUCUAUGUUGAUAUCUGGAAAUAGUUGUCGGUUCCGAGUUGAUCUUGAUUUAUAGGCAUAGUUGUUGGUUCUAUGUCAAUUUUUGAACUUAAAUUAUAUGAACAGUUGUUAGUUCCAUGCCAAUCUUUAUGUAUAGGAAUAGUUGUUUGCCCUCUGCCCUGCCAAAAGAUACAGACUUAAGCUCUAUACCACUAAACUAUGUUGUUUCAUUUAAAUACUACUCAAACUUCGUUCUGUCAUUUUCAUCCACUUAAGGCCAAUUUUUUGUUCUCUGUGCUAUCAUUUGCCCUUUCUAAAAACAAAUCACAUUCAUUUACCUUGUAUAUAAAAGUGAGGGUGUACAAGACUCCACAUAGCUCAAGUUGUGCUCAUAAGUCAUAACAUGGCAGAUUCGUGUGCUCAAUUACCUCUUUUGGGUUUGGUAGUCUCAGAUUCCUUGUUCAUAGGACUUUAUACGUAACAUGCAUUAGAGUGCUGAUACCCCAAAUCCGCUUUGUUGAUUAUGAUACUUGAAAAAAAGUGGCUGGUGUUAAUGCAUGUGUUGUCACUAGUUGCCUUGUAUGAUGGUCUCAAAAAAACAGAUAUCCUUUUCAUGACUUGUUUAAUGCCAAACAAAGUUCUUCAGUAGACUAAUGUAUUUUCUUUAGUUUGGCUUUACAGUUGCAUUGUGAUAGACGUUUCAAUCUAAAUGAUUAAAUAUAAUUGGGGGGUAAAUAUUAUGCCAAAAUAAGCUAUUUUGUAAGGAAAAAGUGGGAGGCCAUGCUCUAUAUCUCCAGGGACUUGUUUCUUUUUUAACAGGCUUUGAUCUUUGAAAUUUUGCAUGGAUACAACUUGCGACUUCCUCUGUUAAUAUUUAUUUAAAAAAUUGGAAAAUUUGUUCCCAAUGGUUCGCUUAUUUAUUGCAUUUUCAUUCCCGUUGUACCUAGCACAGCAAUCGUAAGCUAUAAGCGAUCAUUUUUAAUUUAUUUAGAGCUUUUUUUGAGAGAGAGAAAAUUUGUUCCCAAUGGUCACUGAUUUGUUGCAUUUUCACUCCCGUUGUACCUAGUGCAGAAAUUGUAAGCUAUAAGCAAUCAUAUUUUAAUUUAUUUAGAGCUACCAAUGAACUUUCUUUUCACCGGAUCCUCCCUAUAUCUGGUUUCAACGCAUUUGGCAGUGUCGUUUCCUGAUUACGUUUUCCUCAGCUUGAUCAUUCCUUUCUUGCGUUUGGGAGAAAUAGUCACGGGCGGUGAGCACUUCCCCUUGACAUCUGAUGCAUUCAAGAUGGUCCUCACUGGCCACGCCUCAAAGGACGUGCUACUCAGCAUUUUUCAUGCGGUUAGUAAAAUUGCUUCAGCCAUCAAGUUUACCUCACCCAUAAGAAAUGAGCAUUGUGUCGUCUUGUUCUCAGAAACAGUACCAUGACCGUUGCCAUUGUUGAACGAAUACAGAUUCUUGGCUGGAUUGUUGCUGCACCGUUUGUGAUGGCUGGGCUGUACACCUUGUCCGUCCCUUGUUUCAAGUACCUGGUCGGCAGGUUUGGCGUCAUCCCUUCGAGCCCCAGGACGCCGAUGAAAGCGGUAUAACGUAGCUGUUUCCCCCUAAAGCAACUUUAUUACGUUUCUGAAGCCGUGUGCGUGAAUUCCUUAUAUUGCCCGACUGAGACGGCCCGGCCGUCCUAACUUCUGAACGCCGGCGCACAAAUAGGCUUGCAGAGGCAUAUACUCGUAUCUGUUAGCGUGCCACAUGUUGAGCGGAGGUGGUGUAAUUCUCAAUAUAUUUUUAAGCUGUAGCAAACCUUUCCUUUUUUUUCUCUUCUUCUUACGAACAAGUGUGCGACUCGAUUCACCUGUUUCAAAACCGAUGAUAUUUAUUCAUUCAUUACUUUGGAAGCUAUGGCCUGUUCAUUUGGUUUGAGACAUGCUUCUGUUUUAUCUCUCCUAGGUUUUGCUUUGCCCGAAUGAAUCUGAAUCCGAAUCCGAAAAUGGGGCAGUACCGUUGCUCGUCCACGCCGACUGAUCUUGUGGCGCGUGUCAUCUGGACAUCAUCAGCCAUUCUCACCUGCAUUUGUGUCUCAUGGCACCAUGUUAUGUAAACUGUGGGCAUGUUUGUGUUGUCUGACUGUAUUGUGUUAACUGUUACGUACUCCCGAUAGGGGCAGCUCGCGUAUUCUCGCGGAGCUGUAGGCUGAUAUGUAUAUAUAGUAUAUAUAAAGGUAACAAUUGUUGUGUAUGAUGCUAUCUCUAAUAAGUACUACGAUACAGCAACAUGGAACAUCUGCAAUGCACAGGAGUUCGGACGAGCCUGACUUGCACGUGAUUCUGGAGCAAUAACCAUGCUUUGAGAAGAUGUAAAUCCUCUGAGCAACUCGCCGUUAAGAAAGUCAUUCCGCAUAAACAUGUGAGAUGGAAUGCCACAGGAAGAAGAUGGUGAACAGUGGUCACAUGAACAACAGUUUUAAGACUGUCAUAUUAUAUGACACUAAAAAGAAUGGAGGCCUUCUGGGCCUUAUGGACAGUUUGAUCAUGAGGCUGGAUUCUCCUGCUCCCAUAUGUUUAUUGCCAUAUACUCACUCCUUUCCUAAAUUUUUAAGUCUUUUUAGAUAUUUCAAUAUGGACUAGUACAUACGGAGCAAAACGAGUGAAUCUACGCUCUAAAAUAUUGUCUAUAUGCAUCUGUAUGUAGUCCAUAAUGAAAUCUACACUCUAAAAAUAUGUCUAUAUAUACUACAUGUUGCAUUCAUUCCACAUGGAGAUUGUUAAUCAAACUCUCCUGCUAAGAGCAACUCUAGCAGACCCCGCACAAACUUGACCCGCAAAACGCGUUUGCAGUUUCACGAAGAUCGCGUUUGCGGGUCGGAAACUAGCGCGGCCGAACAGAUACUGUAAAACUGGAAUAAAGAGCUCCUUCCUCCAGUCCAGCCGUUGCCGCCCCUUCCUCCAGCCCGCCGCGCCCCGUCCCUGCCGGUCACACCCUUCGCCUCCGUCGUCCGCGCCUAGCCUUGCCGGCCACGCCUUGCUCUAUUGCCAGGCGAGCCAUGCCCCUUUGCCUGCCGCGUCGGGAGGAUUUCGGCGGCCAGGCUGAGGUCAUGGGAGGCCACGACGAUGUCGAGCUCGUCCAAUUCGAACCGGCGGCGAUCGAUUGCGGCGUCUAGCGGCCUUUUCCGAUGUGCGGUGAUGAAUUCCGGCGAGUUUAGGGCAGAUUCCGGCAAACUCUGCGGCGGCGUGUUUGCUCCGACGAGGCUUGACCUGUAUACGGGGCCCCCUAUAUUCAGCCCUCCAACCUCCAAAUAUAAGGGUUUCGGGCGUGCAUUUGCGGUGGCCCUUAAAAAUUUUACGGGUUGGACUACUUUUACGGUUUCUGUUCUGGACAUUUUUUUCGCCCAAAACUGUAAAACACAAAUUUUUUGCGGGUUUGACCACUUAUGCGGGGUCUGCUAGAGAUGCUCUAAGUAAUUCCAUGAUGGAAAUCAUUUAGCUUUUAUCACCUCCAACUUCUCAUUGUGCAGUAAACUUGCACUAAAGCAAGAAAGAACAAAUAAUUUGGCCACCAAUUAGAGAGCCCAGAUGCAAAACCUCAUCGUAACAUGCUGCAGCAAACUAGCUCCAAGAGCUUUUCUUCAGCUGCCUCUUCUCACUUUGUCAGCAAGGAGCAUUAGGAGUGGGUGGGUGCAACAAAAAUCAUCUCUUCCAAUAGCACAUACUGGUCUGAAAUAUAUAUAGCAACAUGGACAUACAAGACUAGUUUUGGUUUACCUGUUGAUCCAAAGGAGACCGGGAUAUAACCACCUCUUACAAUCACGUAGUCUGAUCGCCGACCAACAACACAGGAGGAGCCCCAUAUCAAACACACGAUCAUCGGUCGAUUCGUACCAAUAAGGUAUUAAUUUGUGCAUCAAGAAGCGAUAGUUUUUUGAACAGAUAGUGGCUACGACGACAUUACGCAUUCGAAACAACAUAACUGAAGAAAUAGCCAUAAGGAGGGGAGGGGAGAGUCUCUAUUGCUACCAGUACCAAGUACCAACAGAUACCUUGAUAUACCUGCUGCUUAUGCGCUAAGAGCAUGUCUGCCUGUCGACACGACACAUAUAUAAUAGGGUUGAGGAACCAUGUUGGAUGGAUCACCAGUAGUCGCCGCAGGAGCACUUGCCCUCCUUGAAAUGGUGGAACCGCUUGUUGUCCCUCACGAUGAGCUCCCGCCCCACGAUCCUCGACAUGAUCUUGAUGGCGUUGUGGCAGUCCCCGCAGAUCCUGAGGUUCUUGAUGAUGCGCAGCGGGGUCCUGGCCGGGGUGCUGAUCAGGCCGUAGGCGAUGGCCAGCCGCUCGCUGUGGUACAGCAGCGCCUGCUCCUUGGCCUCCUGGUCAAUGUCGUGGAGCACGUACCUCGUGUCGGGCACGUAGCGCUGCUCGUUCACCACCUUCUUCUCGAUCUUGGGCGGCAGCCUGUACUCCCCCAGCUUGUUCCUCCCGUCCAGCAUGUUGAUCCCGAGCCGCCGCUUCGGGGGAGGGGUCGGGAGCUUCUUGGGGUUGGCCUUGGAGGGGUCGAGCGAGACCAGCAGCUCCUCCGCCCGGUCCUCGAGGUCAAUGUCGCCGUUCAUGCGCGCCAGGUUCAGCAGCGACUCCCAGAUCAUGGCGUUGGGCUCGAACGGCAGCUUCUCGAUGUACUCCACGGCCUCGUUGAGGUGCCCCGACUUGCCCAGCACCUCGAUGACCCCAACAUAGUGCUCCAUGCCGGGCUCGAUGCCGUGGUCCCUGGACAUGGCGUCGAAGUAGAGGAAGGCCUCCUCGAUGGCCUCCGAGUUGGCGCACGCGUCGAGCACGAGCGCGAAGGUGCGCGCGGUGGGCGCCAUGCCGCACCGCUUCAUCUCCUCGAAGAGCUGCAGCGCGGCGUCCCCUAGCCCGUUGCCGGCGUAGCCCUCGAUCAUGAGGUGCCAGGAGGCCAUGUCCCGGUCAGGCAUAUGGUCGAACGUCCUGCGUGCGUGCGUCAUGUUGCCGCACCGGCCGUACAUCUCGAGGAACCGGUUGUUGAGCUGCAGGUCGGCCCGGAACGGCGAGCGGAGCAGGUAGUCGUGCACCUUGCGGAGCUCCUCGAGCAGCUUGGGCGUGGAGCAGGCGCCGGCGAGCUCGUAGAAGGACGCGGCGUCGGCGCGCGCCCCCUUCUCGAGCAGCUCCACCGCCUCCUUGGCCCGCCCCUCCCUGCACAGCGCCAUCAGCUUCUCCGGCCCCGCCGCGGGCUCGGGCGGCGGCGGCCCCUGCUGCUGCUGCUGCUGGAGGUAACUGUUCUUCGGCGGGGGAGGGCCCUGCUGCUGCUGCCGAGGGGCCGGGGCGGGCGGCGGCGGCCCGUAGCCGUGGCGCGGCGGGGGAGGGGGAGGCCCCUGCCGCUGCUGUUGCUGCUGCUGCGGGUAGUGAUUGCUCCACGGCGGGAUAGGAUCCAGCUGCUGGGGCGGGGGCGGAGCCGGGGGAGGCGGCCCGUAGCCGUGGCGAGGCGGGUAGUUGCUNNNNNNNNNNNNNNNNNNNNNNNNNNNNNNNNNNNNNNNNNNNNNNNNNNNNNNNNNNNNNNNNNNNNNNNNNNNNNNNNNNNNNNNNNNNNNNNNNNNNNNNNNNNNNNNNNNNNNNNNNNNNNNNNNNNNNNNNNNNNNNNNNNNNNNNNNNNNNNNNNNNNNNNNNNNNNNNNNNNNNNNNNNNNNNNNNNNNNNNNNNNNNNNNNNNNNNNNNNNNNNNNNNNNNNNNNNNNNNNNNNNNNNNNNNNNNNNNNNNNNNNNNNNNNNNNNNNNNNNNNNNNNNNNNNNNNNNNNNNNNNNNNNNNNNNNNNNNNNNNNNNNNNNNNNNNNNNNNNNNNNNNNNNNNNNNNNNNNNNNNNNNNNNNNNNNNNNNNNNNNNNNNNNNNNNNNNNNNNNNNNNNNNNNNNNNNNNNNNNNNNNNNNNNNNNNNNNNNNNNNNNNNNNNNNNNNNNNNNNNNNNNNNNNNNNNNNNNNNNNNNNNNNNNNNNNNNNNNNNNNNNNNNNNNNNNNNNNNNNNNNNNNNNNNNNNNNNNNNNNNNNNNNNNNNNNNNNNNNNNNNNNNNNNNNNNNNNNNNNGGCGGCGGCGGAGGGGUGGUAGGCGUGGGACGAGGAGAGGGCGCGGGCGGGGGUGAGGAGGUGGAGGAGGGAGCGGGACCUGGAGGAGACGAGCGCGACGGAGCGCAUCGGGCCGGCGGCCCGGUGGAUGGCGGCGGCGGCGGCGGCGGUGGCCAUGGCGGCGCGAGGGGCGGAGAAUGGGGAUUCUGGUGGGGAGAAACCGUACGGGGUUUAUGCGAGCCGGACGGAUGAGAUAUUUCCGGGCUCGCGAAUGGGCCGUGCGCUCGCGUGAGCCUCACUGGGCCUGUGCCGCCGUGUUAGCCCUCAACAAAUUGCUCUUCUUUUUUUCUCAAAAAAAUUGUUUCUCUGUUUUUGCAUAACUUCACAUGAUGUUUUUUUUUGGCAUAACUCCAUUUCACGUCAAUGAAAAUUGCAUGAACACCAUACUACGUACUAGUAGUGUUUAGAAAGUGUAUUGUUUUGAACAAAUGUCAACAACAACAACGACAAAUUAUCUUCAGCCAGGUCUAUGGAAAACACUACUAAAUAUUUAAUGUUGCAAAAAAAAAGGGAAAGUAUAUUUGAUGAUGCAUCUAAAGAUACAAACCCUGCACUGUAGAAGUUGGUAUUAUUUUGUACGAAUUUGGAGACCUCAAUACGAAACAACAAAUUUUCUCUAGGUUUUAAGGAAUUCUGAAAAAAAAACACAUACAUAUGGAUAUAUAUUACUUGUCUGCAAAGUUCAUGGCAUUUAUAUACGAGCUAUACAAAAAAUCACAUAUUUCUAGCACAUGUAUUAUUCACUAUAAAAGUAAAUGUUUUUUUGCAAAGCACGUCAAAACAUAUUUCAUGAUGAAUUUUACACACAUCCAGCAUGCAUCUAUAAGUACACUUAUACACCCUUUGUUCCUAAAUACAGGAUGUACAUCUUGCAUUUAGAAACAUAAACAAUAUUUAUCUUCAGAUUUUUGAAAACUUAAAAAGUUUUUUCUUUUGAAUUUUUGGAAAUUUCAGGCUCCAUGAAGCCUGAGAGCAAAAAAUCCACCUGCGAAUAUAUGAAGCAUCAUGGAAAUGAAGCUAACUAAAGGACGUUUAAUAAUACAAUCUUAAUACCCUAGAAAAUCUUAAUAGGUUUAUUGAUUGUUCAUUCAAAGAGAUACCCUAGACAAAGAAAACAGAAAAGAAAGGAGGAAACGAUCUGUACAGGGUUGCCCAAACGAAGCUACAGCAAAGGUUCUCACUUCUCAGUCUCAGGGGAUGAUGAUGAUGAUCACGCAUGAUCAAUCAGCACUGCUCUCUCUCUCUACCGCCUACAAUGCAAAAUGAAGCGCAAUGCAAUGCAAUGUCCUACAGGAAAUGCCCAUCAUGCUAUCUCUACUGCCCUCGGCCGGGGCCGAGUUCUCGGGGACGCCCUCGCUCGUCGACGACGCCGUUCUUCAGGGCUGGAACCUCGCCGAGGGCCCCGAGUCGCCGCUCACCUCGAACUCGCUCGAGCUCGCCUUGGACUCGGCGUCCGCGUUGCCACCGCCGGCG